This 60602-nucleotide long non-coding RNA is filed under the name Citrus sinensis (sweet orange). Its description in RNAcentral is "long non-coding RNA (CSIN_LNC003814)". Lineage: Eukaryota; Viridiplantae; Streptophyta; Magnoliopsida; Sapindales; Rutaceae. The record is from RNAcentral.
UUUUUUUUUUUUUUAUGAUUAAAAGAAUGAUACUAUUGGCACCCCUCAAAAAUUCUUAUGAAACUCCUCUACUAUGUAUUUACACAUUUAACUUUGUUGAAAUUACAAGAACUCUAAUUCAAAUAAAAAAGAAAUUGUAAAAACUCCUUACAGCCCUAUAUUACCCCAAAAAAAAAAAAAACAAGCCAUAAAACAAUAAACCUAAGCAAAAGAGGCAUAAAUGCAUUUUUCUAUUACCCGCAGAAUUAGCAAUCAAAGGGGUAUUUAAUACUUAUAGUUAGUCGUGGUGGCUUAUUUUUUAAAGUUUGUUUACAGGUUAUGAAAAACUCUGUUUAUUGAGUUUGAUAUCUAGCUGAAUGUUACUACUGGUCAUGAGAUUUGUUUAAAAAAUUAUUUCAGGGUUCAAUGAGAAGGAAGAAGGUAGGACUUUUUGAUGAAUUAAAAUGAUGUUAUUAGUAUAAGAGUAAUUUUAGUACUUUAAUUAAUAUGUGCGCUCGAAAAAGGGGUUUUACGAGAUUAUUUGAGUGGUACUAAUAGCUCCACUCAUGAUUAAAAUACUCUUAAAGUAAAUUACAAUUAUACAAUUAAAAAUAUAAUUUUUUUUAAAAAAAAAGAAUUUUUGCUCAUUGUACCCAUCUUUUCAUUCAUCAGCGCUGUCAACAUACUCAUUGAGAAGUUUCAAAAUAAUUUCCCUGCAUUCGAUCUGUAAAAAGUUACUUCUAAAGGCUGUGGCUUAUUUUACGUUGGUGAUUUUUCCAUGGUUCUGCUGGCACUUAAAGAUGUAAUUAGAGAUGUAAGGAUGGAGUAUCGAGGACAAGAAAGGUCGCAUCUCACAAAGCUCAGAAUAAACGGUUUGCCCAGUACUUCCCUUUAUGGCUCUUGAAUUGUCAAGAUAUGGCUAUAGUUUCGAAUUGUGUAGCAAUGAAUUUUCUUUUGAAAAAAAUAUAAAUAAUGUGAAGGAUGAAUUUUUACCUUAGCUAUAUUUUUCUGAAUCACGUUAAUAAAGAAAAUCUUUAGUUUAAUGUAAAAAAAGAAUUUAUUAAGAGUUUAUAAAUGAAUUUAAUGGGUUUGCUUAGUAGAAACACUAUUAUUACAAAAAUUGAGUUUGAAGAGUAUAUUGGGUACUUUAAUAGGUUUAUUGAAUAAAAUUUAAAAUUUCAAAAUUUGAGGGUGGGUUUAUUUAAUAAAUAAGUUUACUGAGUAAUUUAGUAAGUUCAAAUAGUCAUACCCAACAACUAAUUACUUAAUAAUUAAUGGAUAAUAUUCAAGUUCAUGGAUAUAAUUUUACUUUUUAUAAUUCCAUUAAUAUUUUAUAAAUCACAAAUAAAAUUAAAAAUUAAAUAUGCAAAUAUAUAAAUUAAUUUAGAUGUGAAAAUAACAAAUAUGGAUUAUUCAAUCAAUAACACAUGUUAAUUCAGACACGUGUUUUCAUUUAUAAUUGGGACAAUAUAAUUUUGACUUCUUAGUUUUAUUCAUUGCCUUUUUUUUAUUUUCUAAAAUUACUCAUUGGUGAAGAUUGAAUUGAAUUAUUGUUGCAAUUUUUAUUAAUCUAGUAAAUUUUUGUUGACAAUAAGAUAAUAAUAAUAAGAUAAACUAAGAUAGAGUUGUGUUAAUAUUAAAAUACAUAUAUUUUCAAAGGAAAUAUAGAAGUAUCAACAGACUAUACUUGUUUCUUUUUAUUAUUUAAUCUUUAAAAAACAUGUUUAACAGAUUUGAUCAUUAGUAAAUUUAAAUUUUUAAUAAAUUGAAAUUAAAAUAUUAUCCUAAUUAAUUUUUAAUUUUAUGAACAGUUGGUUAAAUCUAAUGGUAAAUAUUUAUAUCACUAUUGAUGUUGUUAUUUUUAUAACAGCAUCAUGAAGUGACCAUUUAAAAAUAAAUAUUAAUAAAUAUUAAAUUUAUUAAAACGUCAUUUAAGCUUUGUGUACUACUACCGAAAAUAGAUUUUGAACUAUAUGAGUCUUUUAGUUCAAGUUUCAUACCUCUUAGAGUUCGUUUCAGAUUAUUUUUAAAGGCUCAAAAGUGAUUUUAGAAAGUUAAAAAUUAAUUUUGAUAUUUGGUAAAUUUUUUUAAAAAUCACUUUUGGUAAAAUCACUUUAUCUAUAGCAGAUUUUGAAUAGGUGGGAAGGAGAAAAUUUUAAAAUCUGAUUUUUAUAAUAAUUUUUAUACUUAAUACAAUUCCACAGAUAUUCUCAUAUAUAUUAUAAAAAUCUAAAAUUAUCCUUAUUAAUUAGGAAAUAAAAUCAUUAGCUUUAAAGAGAUUAUAAUUAUCAAUUAUAUUAAGAUAACAAAAUAAAAAAUAAAAAUAAUAAUAUAAAAUGUUUAUUCUAGUUAAUCAAGUAUUAUAUGUACACAAUCAAAAAUAUUUUAUAUACAUUUGUAUAAAUGUGUAAAUAUAUUUUAUAAAAUAUUAUAUCCAAUUCAGUAAUUUACAUUCUUAUUUUACUUUAAUAGUAAAAAUUUACCAAACACAAACAAUUGUUUUUAAGACUUACAGUGCUUUUUUAAAAAAUAAAUUUUAUCAAAUAUUUAACUGAUUCUUUUCACAACUAAUUAUUUCUAUAGAACAACUAACAUUACCAAACUAGUCCUUCGUAUUUCUACCACCGUAAGAACUUUACCCCUUAUAUCUGUGUGAGUAAAAUUAAAACAGACCACAAGCGUCAAUUAGAUCAUUUAUUAAAUUGCAUUUAGUUAGAGAAACCUUGGUACAUUGCAUCAUUGUGUAACUCACAUCAAUCUAAAAAUUAUUUAAAAUAAAUUAAAUAUCUUUCAGUUUCUGAUAUUAUUAAAUUAUAAAACAUUGAUAUAAAUUACAGAAUUAAAUAACUGAGCCACACCCUCAUUUGGAGAUUCAUGUGAAUCCGAUACUGCAGCUUGAAAGGGCACGCCGACCAUCUAUCCACAGUGAAGAUGGUAAGUCGUUUGCCCACGGCCACGGGCCAUGAUAAGAAAGUUGACAUGGUCUGGCCUCAGAGAGCUACUGAAAUGCACACAAUCAGACGCGUCAAAAUGUGGAUCACAUUCAUCAUACUUGGCGCUUUAUGCCCCUUUGAUCAUCAAAGGUGAAAGUAAAACCAAAUCACAUGAAAAGCUCAUUUCUAUGAAAAGAACUAAAAUAGCUGAAUGCAACAAAGGCAGAAAACACUCUUUACAUAAUAUUUUUUUUAUGGAAAGAUUACAUCCUCACUCCAAAUCUAAUAACCUCCACAAUUUCUUCCAAUAAAUUAUUACAACGGGAAAGCCUAACCCUCUGGUUUGAGGACCACCUCCGUUGUAGCUUCGUCCUCUUCCUCUAAUGUCCAUUUGAAGGUCGGAACACUGCAUAGCCAUUGACCCCACAUGCCAUAUUUGAAUACUCCGGGUGAAAAAAUGGGUAGCCCUCGCCCUCUGUGUUUCUCAUGCCCAUUAAAGAUAGAUCUGAACCAGGCAUCGGCCACAUGGUUGGAAUCAUCCCAUCAAUCUGGCCAUUUGAAUAGGGCAGAGCAGUAGCUUGAGGAAUAAAUUCCCUUACAGAGUCAAAAUGGCCAACAGAAGAGCUAUAACCCCUUUGGAACCCAUCAUCAUGGUAACUCCGUGUACGCUCAAACUUACAUGAGCCAGCAGAGGACCCAAUGUCACUUGACAUGCUGAUAUCACGGGGAAAAGAGAACUGCCGAUUUAAUGUGUGCGGCCCAUUGCUAAGAGACUGCAGAACUGUGCUUGCCCCAGCAGCCAUCCCAACACCAUGCUCAUCAUCAAGCAAGUCAUUGAUGAUAUCAAGGUGUGGGAACUCGUCCACCAAAACACCUUGGGUUUGACGUCCAGAUGUACCGGCUGGAAACUCAUUCGAGAAGUACUCCUGGGAUCCACUUGGGACACGCUUAUAUAGGUCAAGGUUCUGAAUGUCAUUGGCCAUGGAAGAAGGAUCAGAAUGCACGAUUCUACUGGCAUCCCUUUGAGAACUCUCUAUCCACUGGUGUCCACUCUGUAAAACAUCCCGAGUUACCAUGCUAAAAGGAAAGGCCGACUGGACCGAAUUUGGGUCAAUCCUUUCAGAGUUCUGGGGUAAAAAAAUAGGUGCAGAUACCAAGGCCUGCUGCUGUGAAUACGCUGGUGAUGGGCCCAAACUUGAAGAGUUGGGAUGAGUUAAGCCAGGUGAACUUGAACCAACAGGAUUUCCCAUUUUAACAUUUCUAUAGGACUGAGGAAUAUAACCAUGGGUAGCAGGUGCGAGGUCAGGACCUAACCGGCCAGCUGCACUAACUGAACGGGCAAGUAGCGGGGCUGUAUGCACCACAGAAACAACAGGAGCAGUUGGCCUAGGACCAGGGACAAGUGGAGCACUAGAGGGCCUCGACAUAUUAGGCACUUGCGGAUCCAUAAGUUUUUCAGUCGGUUUUGAAGCUGCAGCCUUCUGGAUCUCAGGUUUGCAAACACCUGCACCAGGGGAUGAAGUGCAGGAUUCAGCAACUUGAUCAGUCUGCUGUUGCCCAUUUGAAAGUGAUUUCACUUGCGGAACAGGAUCUGCAGUAGCAAUGCUCUUUGGCACUGAUUUCAAUUGCACAGGAGACUGCAGAUUUCUAGGAGGGCUUCUUGGGGAGGAUGGUACAGCUGCUGUCUUCUCUUUAGGUCUUUCUGUAUCAACCGGGUCUUUCAUGCUUGAUUUCUUUUGCGGUGAAGAAGCUUCUUCCUAUUAAACAAAAAAGAAACAAUGUAAAAAAUAAAAGCUCCACAUGAAUGUGUGGAAAUGACCAUUAAAUGAUAAAUUAAAAUCCUUAUAGAUUAAAAAUCCUUAGAGAUUAAAAAGAAAACAUUUCUUUUUUACACAAUACAGUCAUAACAAAAUUUGUAUAAAAUCCUCAAAUAAAUGGACAUGCUUCUAAAACAGUACCUUGAUUGACAUACAUAUUUGCAAUCGAAGUGUCUCAGAGAUCAUAGUUAAUCGUAUCUAUUUUUACCCCCAAAAAAGAGGAAUAAAUAGGACUCUGCAAAAUUACUUGCAUAUUUUCCUCUUAAAAAAAAUGAAAAUAUAACAAAACAAGAAACUAUUUUCCUAGGUAAUAUAACCCAAACAACUGCAUAGCCAGAACUACAUACAAUCAUAGAAAUCAGUCAAGUAAAUAAAGAAACUAAAAAGUGAAUAAAAACUUUCAUGCUUAUGAGAUGCUUUGAUUGCUACUAAAUACUUUAGAAUUCUCACCUACAAAAAUAUCUGAGAUUGGAGUUAAGAGCUGCAGUAACUCACCUUAGCGACAUUCUGUUCAGGCAAUUUUGCCUGAUGCUGCAAGGAAGAAACAGCCUCAGACUCGUAUUCACCAGACUUACUGCUUUCGGAGAUAUCAUUGUGUUCCCCUGCAUCAGCAGCAGGCCUAGAUGGCUGAUUCUCUGUUUCAGUUGCCCAAACAUUUCCAUCAUAUGUAGACUUCCCCCGCUGGUUCUUCCCCCUACAAAUUACACAAGCCAAAUCAAAUGAACAAAGAAUAUUCUCUUAUCGUGCCAAAAACAAAUAGAUAAAUGUAGGCGGUAUGUUUACCUGCUGGGCGACUUUUGAUUUUGGUAGUUGGCAAGGGAAUUCCCUUUAUAGGGCCCAUACAUUACCACUGAUGGGACUGAGUCGGUAGAACAUGUGGAGGAACUAUCAUCCAUUACAGAUGCGUUCCGUUUUUCAGUUACUCCAUUAGGUACAGAUGAUAGAUUACAAACUCCACUGCUGCUGGCUUCUGUGGGAGGAAUAACUUCAGAUGCAUCAGUAUCCCAAUUGACAGGGCUAGUAUCUCUGUCCUCUGAAUCAGGCUGAAGUACUUCUGCACCACCAUCCACUGAAUCAGAAACAUCAGAAACAUCUUCCAGCACAUCAGGCUUUUCAGGCAAUGGUUGGGCAUCCUCUACAAUGAAUUCUUUUUUCUCAUUACUAGGGUUUUCAUCUUCAAGCCUGUCUGAGAGAGCCAUGCUGGACCUUUCCUCCCUCUUUUUCUCUUUCCCUUUGCGAUUGUUCCGUUUUUGUUUAGCCUACGAUAUACAAGAAGAUAAAAUUCAGCAUUGCCCCCACCGAAAAAAAAAGGGCAAUCCAUGUGAAAUCGAGGAAAUUGUGAGAGAGUGAAAAAACUGACUAUUCUUCACUAGAGUGCAGAACUGCACAAAAAAUAGAAACACAUACACAAUGCAAGAACAAACAGAAUAGCCAAAAAGACACAGGAGUAAAUAAAUAUAAUUGAGAAGGCAAGUAGCUAGCUUUAAAAGAGAAAAAAAAAAUGAAGAAUAUCAGCAAAUCAUUUGUCGCAGAUCAGGUGAGAUGGCCGAAACAGAGAGAAUGAUUGAUGACAACCACCUUAUAAACACCUUCUUUUGCCCUAAACUCCCACGUAAUAAUUUGUAACAAACAAGUUGAAUUAGGAGGUAAAAAUUUCCAAUACCCCUAAAAAAUUUUAGGCUUUGCAAAAUAUCAAAACUGCUUUCUCAUGAUUUCACCACGUGGGCUGUCUAACUCUAGGCCCAAAAGACGUGCAUAUAUUAGGUUAUAUAGGUUUGAGUCUUAACGCAACUGGUGAUAGGAUGUCAUACCAGCUUUUUCUUUGCUUUCUUCUCCUUUUCAGCUGCUCCACGUUUAGCCUUCUGCUCACUUUCAGCCAGCCAUGCUGCCUCCUCUUCACGAAUUAGCUCUUCUUGUCUCUUCAGCGCAACAGCUUCCUGGUAAGCAACCUCAAUUUUAUUGCUGUAUGUAAAGAUGAAAAAAGUUAGGAGUAUGGAUAGUGAUAAGCAGUUACCGUGUCAUAAUUAAGCUACAGCCUCAAAAUGAUAACAAAUCACAUAUCUAUUAAACAUAGUACCUGAAUAUAUGGGCAAGGACAAAAAUCUCCACUGUUCUACGCCCCAGCUCUGUGAGUCUCCUUUCAUCACGCUCAAUUGAAUCCUUGUUAAAGUCCUCCCCAGAGUUACUCUCCUAAAAACAAAUAGGUAUGGAUGGGUUACUAAGCAUUAAAUGAUUUAAAAGAGAAAAACUUAACAUACUUCUGUGCAAACCAAGCAUGUGAGAGUGUGAGAGCGUGUGUGUGUGUGAGAGUGAGAGUGAGAGUGAGUGAGAGAGAGAANNNNNNNNNNNNNNNNNNNNNNNNNNNNNNNNNNNNNNNNNNNNNNNNNNNNNNNNNNNNNNNNNNNNNNNNNNNNNNNNNNNNNNNNNNNNNNNNNNNNNNNNNNNNNNNNNNNNNNNNNNNNNNNNNNNNNNNNNNNNNNNNNNNNNNNNNNNNNNNNNNNNNNNNNNNNNNNNNNNNNNNNNNNNNNNNNNNNNNNNNNNNNNNNNNNNNNNNNNNNNNNNNNNNNNNNNNNNNNNNNNNNNNNNNNNNNNNNNNNNNNNNNNNNNNNNNNNNNNNNNNNNNNNNNNNNNNNNNNNNNNNNNNNNNNNNNNNNNNNNNNNNNNNNNNNNNNNNNNNNNNNNNNNNNNNNNNNNNNNNNNNNNNNNNNNNNNNNNNNNNNNNNNNNNNNNNNNNNNNNNNNNNNNNNNNNNNNNNNNNNNNNNNNNNNNNNNNNNNNUAUUUAUAUCAAACUAUUGUAAUGUAACAAAUAAAGCUUGAAUUCAGCAUGUUAAAUGCAAUCUCAACCAUCCAAAAAAUAUAAUUCAAUAAUUCAAAAUAUAAAUAUGCCACAACAGUUGAUUCUAACUUACAGAAACACCAGAAAUUGACCCCCCAAAAAAAAAGUUAUUGAUAAAAAACUAAUGAAUUUCAAUAGAACAUAAUAGAGACAAUUACAAGAUGAGAAGAUGGUGAUUAUAAAAUAGAACAACAUAACAUCUAUUUCCAGGAAAUUCCAAAUCACUCUAAAAGGCAUACAUACUAAUGUUUUGAGGUGGGCAAUAUAAAUCCCUUUUUCUCCAUUCAGUUUACAAGAGGGCCGUGUCCUCUAUUUCUAUAGGAUGCACACAAUGUCAUUAUAGUGCUACGAGCCCAAAAUACCAAGUAUGAGAGCAGAGAUAAAAAGAGAUAGCAAGACUUAUAUCACCAAUUUCACAAGCCUCGCAUAAGGAGCAAGCCAUCAAUCUAUGCCUAAGGAUGCGGACCUAUUAGAAACUACUGCAUUAUAAAUAUGAAUCUAAAUUUCCACCACAAAAAAAGUUUUCUUAUUCAAAAAUUAUGUUAGCAAUGUCAGGCUUACCCAAAGCAUUUUGGGAUGAAUAGCCUUAAGCUUAAGCAUUAUGUAAGGAAUGUAAAUGAGAAUGGAACCAAGCCUGUAGUACCAUACUAAGAAAGUUGAAGGAAGAAAUUCCUUGGAAGGGUGUACAGAAGAGGACAUUAUGAUAACAAGAAUCUCACCAUUGUCGAUAGCAAGAGCCUCAUACUACUACCACAUUACCAACAUAAAUGCUGCCCUCAUCACCACAACCACCUAAAAACCUAUAUUAACAUAACCCAACCUAGAUGGCUACAACUUAAAGCACAAUGUCAUCCUAAACUUCAGCUUUGAAUGUAACAUUGCAUGAUCAGUGUCAUCGGUUCAUAUUUCUGAAGUUUCCAGCACAUUAACUAAUUGGAAAUUGCUAAGAAGUCAUUCAAACAAAAAGUGCACCGAUGUAACUAAGAAACCUUAUUAAGGCAGGCCAAACUUCACAGCUACUAUUAAAAUGGUUAAACUGAAUCAGACAACCCAAGCACAGUACUAGCUCAUACUAGCCAGACGAAGGCAUAACCCAAGUAUCACAAUAAAAGAAGUUCAACGUAUAAGAUCUCACCUUUGUACGAUUCUGAGGACCCUUCUCAUCUUUAGGUGGCAGAGGCUCUAAAGCAGCCCUCUCUAACAGUAGCAGAACAUCAUCCACCAAGACAAACAUAUCAUUCUCAACAUGAACAAUAGGAGGUGGUGUAUCUUCUGCAUCUAACAACUUUGCCUUUGUUUUCUUGGACUUAGACUGUCCUUCAAGAGCCUUCAAUCCACUAUACAAGGAAUCCAUUACCAAAGUAGAUGUGACUUCCUUCUCUAUAAAAAAGUGUUUCACAACUACUUUCAGAAUUGCAUCUGUUUUCUCUCUAGACAUACGGCGCCUGGCAUUCUGGUCAAUUCCCAACCAGAAUGCACAGAAGCUGAAAUCAUCACAAGUGAUAUGAUAUUAGUGCCAACAGAGCAGUAACCAGAUAUGCAAGAAUAUAUGCAGAUCAAGUCAGGUCAUAUAUACACAGUAUAAUGUCAUGCAUCUUCAGAAGAACCAUACAAAAAUUGAAAAAACAAUUUCAUUACCCUAUCUUCCAAAAGUGCUUUAUUAAGCAUUGUUAACAGAAUAGUCAGCAGUUUAAGUUGACAAAGGUAACAAUAUAAUACUUGCCUUGACCACCUAGCUUUAUCCUCUAUUAACCUUCCAAGUUUCCCUCGCCUUUCUUCUACAAAACGCCGACAUAUUUGCUCUACAUUAGUCAAAUAUACCCUAACAAGUUCUCUCCUGUACUGACAAUCAAGGCAACGAAAAGGGCGAUCUGUUUUCUCCCUACAAACCAAAAAGCAAAAUAUUAAAGUAUUUAUUGAAAUAGACUACAUUGUAAAUAACAUUCUUAAGAAGUAAUAGAGCAAAUCUUUUCACAAAAAAGAGCAAAACCAAAGAAUCACUACUCAUAAAAGCAACUUAUCAGAUAUCACUGAGGACUUGAUAGAUUAAGGAUAAGCUAAGCAGCGAAAAACAUUUUAUGGCCCAUUGGUACAGUCUAGUUGGACGAAACACCAACAGAGAAAAGAGAUUCCAUCAUUUAGUCAAUAUGUACCUGAUGACUUGAACUUGAGCUUUUAUAAUGAGAGUAUCACCAUCUUUAAACCCAUCAGAAACUUUUGAGAGCUCCAUAAACUUUUUCCAGCCCCAGUCAUGCUCUUUCUUCCAAAAUCGAUGUAAAGUAUCUGCAGGAUUUUACAUUUUGUCACUCAUAAAUCAAGAAGGCACUCAUUUUACAUCUACUGAAGUAAUUUUCAACCAACCAACCAGAAUAUUUGGAUUUCUUUGGAUCUCUAUUCACAACGGCUAUUGUAAACUGAGCAAAAUGACUCCAACCUGUUGAUGAACAGAGAAAGUUUUUAUUUAAAAGAAGACAAAUGUAAAGAUUCAAGAAAUAAUUCGAUACCAGUUUAUAAUAUCAGACCUGGAAGGAGUUUGUCAUGGUUGGCAACACAGAGGAACAAAGAUAGAUGAUUGCAAACAUCACAGCCUUGUGGAUAAAUCAGAAUAUACCUGUCACCACAGGAAAAAGGUUAAAUCAUAAAUGUGACAACCUUUAAACAUACAGGAUGGGGGGCAUAAUCUAAUAAUAUAACACUUAAAGAUAAUAAACUAAUGACUUUGCGCCGAGAAUGUAAAGUUCACAAAUGUAAAUGAAACAGCUGAAAAUUUACUGUUAAAAUUUUCAUCACUCCUAAUAAAUGAUUAAAUAUAAUUAAAUAUAUUUACAUACAACUGGACAUACACAUGAUAUCAUGAAAUCUCCCUCCAACAGCACCGAAAUAAGAAUAUCUGAACCAUCAAAACAUUGACUUUUAACAUAUCGAAAUUGAAAGAAGCUUCUGAAGUAUCUACUUUCAUACAAACGUGUGCGGCUAUCUUGUUGGUUUUAUGAGGGUGUGUGGGGGGAAAACCAAAAGUAAAAAAAUACAGCCAAAGGAAAUGGCCAAUAAUAUAAGCAGGAAUAGCAAUUGAGAAACAAAAUAAAUCAAAAGAAUGUAUAGAAAUCAAUCAUAUCUAAAACCUCGUACCAUUUGUAGCCACCAACUUCAAAUGCAUUACUACGAAGUUCUCGUUUGCUUAUCUGUGAAAAUUUCUCAAUCCUCCAUGUGUAUUUUCCAUAUAACUCGGAAGGUUUAGGCCCUAUAAAGAAGUUAUCUUAGCUUAAGAAGUGCACCGAACAGAAGGUUAUUAAAGAUAACAUAGGUUAAAAAAUCGACUAAAAUUUCUUCGUGCUGAGAUAAAGAAAUAAGUAAAACAACAAGACUAACACAGCAGAUAAUAAAUCAUAUGAGAUAAACUUAGUCUUACUUCUGCAGCAGACUAUGGAAUGGAAAGCAGGCACAUUUAGACUCAAUUAAGUAUUACCUUCGUAUCAACUACUUAUAUCGAAAGAGAAUGUACAGAAUAAAUUUUGACAGGCACAAGGGCAAUUUAAACAAACACCUUCAGAGAAUAACAGUUUGAGCAUUUUGAAGCAUGUUGAUUUUUAGUCUGUAUCCUUAACAUUCAACUUUUUUAAAACGAGCACUGACGAGAUAAAGAAGCAAGAUAGUUAGAAAUCCACAGUGAUAAGUAGAGAAGCAAUACUCGGUAUUAUCUUUUAAGAGGCAAAACAACUAGACCGUCAAACAAGAAACACAAGAAUAUUUCAUCAUAGAAGGCUCUAAAAUCACACAAUACAAGACUUGAACAUUAAUUAUACAAUUUUUUACACAUUGUCAUACAUAGCAGGUAAUAGAUUAUUCACGGGAACAAUAUCAACUAGUCAAAACUGAAAUAGGCAACAGUAAACAGCAUGUUGGCAAAUCAUUUCAAGCUCCAUUUGCAGCAGACACUCACUUAUAACCAAUUAUAAUCAUGUAAAAUACAUAGAGUAAUUCAAAUUUAUGAGACUUCAAUAUCCAUCCACCCUUGAAGAGAACUAGACUGUACAAACAGUAUAUAUCAAUAAACCAUGAGUCCAAAUACAAACAGAAAGCUAUAUUGCUUAUCAAGUUAUUUUGUAUUUGUAGUCAUUGUUCUUUUCCUUGUACUUUACUUUUUCCUUCCAUAUAAGCUUGUAAGUAUCAGAAACAACAAAAAAUACCCAUUACCUAACAGUUCACAAGAACCAUGGAACACACACUCAUUAUCAAAGCACAAGAUAACUAAUAAUUGAAAGACAAUUCAGGGAAGCAAAACCAUACAGCCAUCAUCAUCAUCGUCAGUGUCCCAGUACGGGGGUGAAGUCGAUGGGGUUCCAUUUUCCACCUGCUCAGAAGAACGCCACUCCGCCAAUGCUUCCCCAGAUUGACAACGCUGCCCACUCGAAAUCCCCUCCACAGACCUUCCCAAUCCAGACUCCUCGCUCGCAAUUCCCGCCAUUUCCCAAUCCAGAACUCCCUACCCCACACUCGUUCAAUUCCACUUGCUAUGACGCACCAAACAAAAAGAAUCAAAGUUAGCAAUUAAACCUCACGUCACAUAACAAAAAACCUAACAUAUAUUAACAAUGUAUAAAACCAAAACCCCGAAUACGACAAAAGAACAUUAAUUAACAAUGUAUAAAACCAAAACAUGAAAUACGACAAAAAAGUCUCAAAAGCUAAAGAAUAGAAUCAAAAUGGCAAUAAUCCGUUAGGCCGUUGAAAAAAGUGGUGACAGGAAAGGAAAUUACAGUUAGCACAAUGAAUUCUUCAUCAAUUAGGACCUAUCUGAAUAAAAGCCUCCAAUGAAUUAAUUAUAAUAUGGCAGUUUUACCUGAAUGCUCUUAUUAUUGUAUAUUCAAUUCCUCCAAAACCAAAUUAUGACAAAACACACAAAUUUUUUUUAAAAUACCAUUAUCUUCAACUUCCACACCCAAUAUGUUUUCUAACAAUCAAAUUUAAUUCAACAUUUGUAAUCCAAAUACCAAAACCCCAUCUCCUCAUAAUCAAUCAGAAAAUUAUUUUUAACAUCAUGAGAUUAUAAAAUCAAACACCCAGCUCAACAACAAUCGUUCAGAUUAAAAAGACAAAGAAACACGUAGCACAAACAAAAACUCAAACAAAGAAAAUUAUCUAGGUAAACCCAAUUGCAUAAAAGAAAAAAACCCAUAAAGACCAAAACGAUCAUCGGCGAAAAACUAAAGAUCGUAGAAAUAAAUCCCCAAAACCCCAAUUAACAUCAAACCCUAAAACAAAACAAGGAAGGAAUAGGGAUAGAUUAAAAUUAAGGGAAUCGAAAGUUGGCAACGACGUCGUACAGAUCGAACCUGAAACCGAAGACCAGAGGCUGUUCUGUUCCCAAAUUGGGUUAAGACAGGACAGCUCUUUGAGAUUUUAGAGAGAAGAGAGAGAUAGAAAGAAAGAGGGGUCCAAGGAGAGCAGCAAAGCAAUAGAGAGAGGCCAAAAAAGAAAAUUUGUUGUUUUCAUUUAUUUAUUUAUUGUGGUUUUAUUUUUUUAAUUUUUUUCCUAUUUUGCUUUUCUCAUUUUUUAUUAUCGUGAUGAGGAUUGCCACAUAGGGUGGGAACAAGAGGGUAGCCUCUGGCCUUUUCCUUUAUAUAUAUAGGGGGGGGGGUCGGUGACAAAUGUUGGAGAGCACAGGGCAGAACAACCUGGUUGCGGUGGCUCGCUGCAUGAGUAGUUUUCUAGGUUAUGGGACGCCCUAAGCUUUGAACAUGUUAAUUGGUUUAACCAAGCCUGCGGUCUACUUACCCUUUUUUUUUUAAUUGUUUUCUGCAAAGUUAUUUAUUUAUUUUUAUUUUCGUUAGGGUUUUGGCAAGAUGGGCUGGGGAGUGGAGACAAUGGUCAAUGGGCUUUAAAAUGAUGGAUCAAAUUGGGCUUACCAGGGCGGUCAAGGAAAUCCAGUUUGAGACUGACCCAUUUGGAAAGGAUUUUGUGAAAUCCAAUACUGAUAAAAGUACCGAACGAACCCACUUUUAUGUGAGCGGGUAGCGACUAACGAGUGUCUUCUGCGUAGGGAUGACAAAUUAGUUUAUUUAAAUUGGAUAUUCAUAUAUUCAAUCUAAUUAGAUUGGAUAAUAUUCAUUUAAAAUUUUUUUGAAGAUAGAUAUGAAUAUUUUUAAAAAUAUUUAAUUAGAUAUUGGAUGGAUAAUGAAUGCAUUAUGCUCAUAAGUAUUCCUAAGUGAUGAUCUAGUUCUGCUGUACGGCCAAGGCGGAUGUACGGUACAGCAGCCAUUUAAAGUUAAAAAAAUUUAUAUUGUUAAACUAAAAUGAAAAAAAAAACAAAAUAUAAUUUCCUCUUAUAUUAAUUAGUGAAGAAUUUAAAUUCCUCUUAUAUUAAAAAUUAAAGUUUCUAAAAUUACCCUUUAAUUUUUUAACUUAUUUAAUGUCAUUAAUAAUUAUUAUUUUAUUGAUUUAAUAUUAUAAAUGGACCUCCACCGGAAAGUCACCGGACCACUGCCAGAAGUUGCCGGAAGGUCGCCGGAUCACCGACAGAAUAUCGCGUGGACCAUCGUCGGCUUUGCCAGAAAAUUGCCGGACCUCUGCCGAACUUCGCCGGACCCCGCCACCGGCCACCGGACCACCAUUUUAUUAUAUACAUAUAUAUUAUUACUAAUAUAAAUAGUUUAAUAGCCAAUUUUGAUAUUGGAAUUUUAGUUAUUUUAUAUUAUUAUUUUUAUAUAAUAAAAAUAAAAUAUCCAUGGAUCUCCAUAUCUAUAUGGAUAAAAUCCAUAUCCAUGUCCAAUAUUAAAUACUGGAUAUGGAUAUAUUCAUUAUGGAUAAUUAUAGAUUUGUAUUUGGAUGAAUAUUAUCCAUCCAUAAUUAGAUAUUUACCAUCCCUACUUCUGCGUGCACUACCUUCAAAUCUCAAUAUACAAGUUGUCAUGGGUUAUGGAAGAGAGAUGACUUAUUACGACUUUGAUUAUAUUCUCUCCCAUUAUAAACAGAUUUUUGGUAACGAGUUCUAUGAAAUUGUAGCCAACAAAAAUCCUUAGUUAAUGAUGAUGAGAUAUAAUACGAUUUUUUAUUAUAUUAUUUUAAUUUUGUUAAUGUCAUUAAUAGUGUUCACGUUUAAAGAAAUAGUAUAAUAUUUUAAUUGUACUUGUUCUAGUUGAGGAGUUGGGGUGGGUGAUUUCCAAACAAUUUUAUUUUGGAUCCAGUUAUGUCAAAACCUUUUUAAGGUAAAACACAUCUUCAUAAUCGCACGAUUAAAAUUAUAACGUAUUUUUUAUUAUUUAUUAUUUUUUGUGUGUGGCUGUGAUUUAUACUAUACCUUGCAACAACUCUGAAGUAGCUAUUGCCUUGGCAUCCAAAAUUAAGUAUUGAGAAAAAAAAGUCAAAGAAUUAAUUGAGAUUUUAUUUUCUUUUUCCUUCUUUUUAAAUUAAAAAAAAAAAUCUUACACCCUUAGUUUAGGUAGAUGAUUUUCAAAUACUGUAAUUAGAUGACCAGUCAGAUUCAAAUGCUAAGAGGCGGCGAAUAUAAAUCAAUUUGAAUUUAUCCACCAACCUACCUACUUUUUAAAUACAAAAAAUAAAUAAAAGGAACUUACCAAAUUCGAAAGGGCAAAUGUGUACUUUACCUUAAUUUUUCAAAAUUUCCAGAAGAGCCUCGUCUAUCCGCUAAGCAUCGCCUGUGUUGCCGCUUGCCAGCGUAAUCAGUGAAAUUCCGGCGGUGCGCUUCCAGAAGUUGUACGCUCCUGCGGAGUACCACCACGUCGCUAGCCAAACGCAUUCCACAUUCAUUCACGUAAAGCUCGCAAGGUUUCCAAAAUUUUCAUUCUUUUUUUUUCACAUCUCAUUUAUUUUCAAUGAUUUACCUCUUCUUUAAUUACGCUAAAGAGUCCUUACGAAGUACGUUUUCUUUUUAACAAACACCCGCAUUAGGCGGACGUGGAUAAAGAACAAUUUAAUUGUUAAUUUUAUUAAAGAUUCGCUUAGAUUUGUUUGGCAUCCGUAUAAAUGUAGACAUAGGUGUACAGAGAGAAGGAACAUCUAGGGUUUUAUUCGCUUUUAAGGGAGGCUUGGUUUCUUGGGAGGUAUGUUUUAUUUUAUUUUAUUUUUUCUAAAUUGAUUGUGCCAAAUUUGGCUAGGUUAUGUUGAUUGAGAGUUUUUGUUUCUUUUGAUGCAACCAUGAAUAGACUUCUAAUGUAAUAUUUGAAAGAAAAUUACAAUUUACAAUUCAUAUGGGAAGACAUUGAACCCUUGAUUUUAAGUAUGAGGUUCGAAGAUGCUCACCACGCGACUAAGGAGGUGGGGCGGGAAUGGGUUGGGUUUAAUUGGGUUUGUGAAAAUUCAAACUAACUCACUAUUGAUUAGGUUUGGAAAAAUCAACUCAAUCUAACUAAAUAAAUAUGUUCAACCCAAACCAAUCCAACCCUUAAAUCAUUGGAUUGGAUUUGAUUGAUCAAGUUGAUUAAAAUUAAUUUUUGGGAGGAUUGUUGGAUUAAAGAAGUUGCUCUCUGUGAUCUUUUCCCUCGAUUAUAUAGACUUUCUUGAGGUCAUGAAUGCUCUAUAGCUAGUAUGUGUGAGUACUCUAUUAUGCAGUGGAGUUGGGAUUUUAAGUUCAUUAGAAACUUGAAUGAUAGAGAAUCUGAACAAUGUGCUAAGAUGCUCGGGAUUCUACAAGGAGUUUUUCUUAAUAAUCUAAAAGAGGAUAAGAGAGUUUGGAAUUUGGAUAAAUCAUGAUGUUUCUCUAUGAAAUCUUACUUUCUUAACCUCAUAGAUAACCCCGUUGCCCCCUCAUUUUCUCCUUCUUACCUGAUUUGGAAAGCUAAAGUCCCUACCAAGGUGAAGAUGAUGGUUGCUCAUAGAAAAAUCAACACAAAUGACAUGGUUCAAAGAACGAGACCUAACAUGGCUUUAUUUCCAGAAUGGUGUGUCGUUUGUAAAAAUGCUUCAAAGAAUGUUGAUCAUCUAUUUCUACACUGCAAUGCUGCUUACUUUUUGUGGUCUAACUUGUAUAAGACCUUUAAUCUAAGUUGGUCAGCCCCUGUAUCAUGCUACUCCCUCCUCUUAGAAAGUUUUUCUUGCUUAAAAGGGCAAAAAAAAGCAACGGUUCUAUGGGACUGUGUAGUCUUUCUUUUUAUUUUGCUUAAUUGGGAAGCUUUUAUAUCUUAACAGGGAUGCGCUCUUAGUAAGCUAGUGUUUUUGGGUUUUGCGAUAUUUUAUCUUUGCAGUUUCUAAGUGUUUUGUUUAUUUUGGGACUUCUCGUCCUUAUUUUGUGGAUUUUUAGUCCUCCUAAUCCUUGUACAUAUUUCUUAUAGUUUUAUUUAAUCUUUUGUUUCUUAGCAAAAAAAUAAUAAUCAUUUAAAAAAAUCAUAAAUAGAAAAAGAUUAAAAAAAGAACAUUCUUAUCUUAAAAUUGAUUCAAAUAGGAAAAAAAUGUUAAUUCUCCAUCAUAUAUUAAGUAUUGUUCAUUAUACCUCACAUUUAUUAAUAAACAAAGCAACAAAAUAAAGAUUGUAUAAGAAACUAUAUGACAUAAUGUUUUAUAAUCUAUUAACUUAUUUUUAAUGAAAAUUCGGGUUUGAUUGCCGAAUUUUGAAUGUAGAGGAUUCAAUCAAUGUUAGGUUAAACUAAGAGAAAUUGAAAAUAGUCUUUUUUUAUAAAAGAAUGAAAAGAGCUACGUUUAUAGUUGAUAUUAAUUUUGCUAUAAUUUUUAUUAUUCUUGGGUUGGGGUUAGGGCAUCAACAUGAACCCAAUCCAACCCUCAUUAAUUAGGUUGGAAAAAGUGACCCAAUCAUCCAUCUAAAUUUAAUUGGGUUGGGUUCAAUUGGGUUCGUUGGAGUAUAUUGGGUUUGCCCACCCCUACUAAGGAGUGAUUUGUUAAUAAAUUUACUGUUAUUGUAUUAUUAUUAUUAUUAUAGCCUAACGGCAACCCAAUUCAGUCCCCUCUCCACCCCACCAAUGUGAGCGGUGUUUGAACCUUAAGACUUCUUGUUUCCACACAAAUGACUUUACUUUUUACCAAUUGAAUUGGAUGGACCCACUCGUUGUUGUUGCCAGGUAGUUAAGUAAGAUCUAUUUGGUUGUUAGUAUUUUUGGAUUCAAAUUGUGUUCACGGCUAGUUUGAUUUCUUGUCUGAUUGGUUUUAAUCUUUUUAACUUUAGUUCUUAUUCAAAAAGAUGUGAUUUUGUCUAUUCUUGCAAAAUAGGCAUUAUCUAUUUUAAGAGUUGAGUACUUGUGUGUGUUUGUAUGUAUAUGUAAACCCACAAGUCAUUGCAUUUUAAGUUAGGACUAUUGCAGAUUCCACAACCUUAGUAUUCAAGAAACUUGUGGAUAUAAAUAUUCUAGAUAAGUAUCCCCAAGAUUGAGUUUGAAAAGUAUCCCUAAGAUGGGGUUUGAACUUUGAACCCUGACCAUAUAUUUGAUUUUAAUUUUGAUCUUUUGCAAUGAGCAAAAAAGGUAAUGUAAGAGAGGUUCUAGAACCUUUUCUAAUGGUGUUUUGUAUUUUUGGGUUGGGUAAGAUGCUCCUUUGUGUUGAAUUGCUAAAAUUCUUUAAUCUAGUUAUUGUCAUCUUAAGUUGUUUAAUCUUAUUUGGUUUUGGUUAUUAUGAAAUUUAUUUUUUUCUUUUAGUUAUUACUUUAAUCUUAAAGAGCGAUUCUACACUUUCUAAGUGUGUUUCUAACCUUUACAAUCCUAAGUGGGGUGGCAUCCAUCCAUUAGAUGAUGGGAUGGAAUAAUAAGUAAUUUCACAAGUUAUGAAAUUGAUCAAUCAAUAAUGAAUGCUACAUCAAUACUUAAGAUGAGAAUAUUGGGAUAUUACUUGGGAAGUCUUCUAUUAUUCUAUCUUGAAAUAAGUCUAAUUUUACCAACCCACUUUUCAUUGGGAAUUCUAGAUGCUAUCAUGACUUCAUCAUGUGUCUACAUUCUUUUUAUGAAUUUGAUUUGAAGAUUUGUUGGUAUCUUUGUUGUGUUGCGACAUGAAUUAAUCACCAUUGCUAAUUGGAAGGAAUAUGUUGAAUAGCAUGAAUGAAUUGAAUUUUGAAUAUUCUCUUUUUCUAUAUGAAUUCUUAGCCCUGUUUGGGAUUGAGGUUGAAACUCCAUAAGUUGCUUAUUGAGUAAUUUUUGACAAAAAUAUUAUUUGGAAAAUUUUGUAAAAAUUAUUUAUUUUGUAAUUUUCUUCAUUUUGACAGUAACUUUUAAAAGUAAGUAGAAGGUCACUUCUUAAAAGUAGCUUAUUAAAUAAGUCACUACACAUUUUUAAAGUUUCUAUUAUUUUCUUAAUAUUUUAAUAGAAAGGCAAUUAUGUCUUAUUUUUCCAUAAACCCAAAUUUAUAAACCAUUAGAUAUGAUAUUAUUGCCACAAUCAAAUUACUACCAGGACUAAUAUACAUUCUCUCCAAUAUCAAAGUUUUGGUUCAGUAAGUUCAUAUUUUUUGUAUUUUACUUUUAUUUUUUAUUAUAAAAAUCAAUAAGACUUGCAUAUGAUUACAUAAAUUUUCUGUAAACUUUGAAUAAUUUCAUGUGAAAGCUAACCAUGAUUUUAUGUAGUUUUUUGUCUUUUAAAAAGAAAAAAAUGCAUUUCUAAAUAAUUUAUUAAAUGCAUGUAUUUUGCUUUCAAACUCACAGCAAUUGCAAUGACACAAUUUUCCAAACACCAAGCUGCUUGUUAAUUAGUAGCUUAUUUUAUCCACACUGCGAAAGCAAUUUCUUUGAUCAACCACCACAAUCCUAAAUUGAUCCUUAGUGGGUUUCCUGGUUUCUUCUCUUUUGCUUUCAAAAUAUCCCCAUUUCUUUCUAUAGUUCUUUAUUUCUAUUAAGCCUUUUGUUCUACGCCAUAGAGUGUUCAAAACUUCAGUUUUGUAUUCCUGUAUCUUUUUCAUAAAUUUACUGUUUGAUGGAUGUUUGUUUUACUUACGGAUGUAGAUAAAGGUUAUGUUGAAUCUUGAUCUAUUAUUGGCCCUUUUAUGCAAUACAUGAUUUGUUUCAUUUGCUAUUGAUGUCCAUAUUGUGGUAUGCUUUUGCUAUUUCACACGAAGAUGUUAGAUGGAGGUUGACAUUGUGGUUUUGUGCUUGAGUCCCUCAUUCUAUUAAUCACAUGACAAUAUAUAACAAGUUUAGUGUGUGUUUCGAUCCAUGUAUAUGGUUGCUUUGGAUAAACAUGGCUAUCUUGUUAAAUAAAUUAAACCUUACACAUAAAAGGGUGUUAAGAGUUUAUAUACAAUCAUUCAAUCAGCCUUUACCUAUUAGUUUAAGAUUGAGCAUUCAAAGAUCCCUUGAACCCUCUGUGCUUUAUUAAGAUAAAGAAAGAAAUCAAGUGCUUGUCGACAAAUUUGUUGGCAUGUUGGCAUUGUGAAAUCCUUUAUUUUCGUUUCGGUUAUUAGGAAUUUGUAGUGUUUGUAAUUGUGUAAUUAUAUUUUGUUACUAUGUACUUAAGAUUUGAGUCUCAAGUUUUUAUCCUAUAUAUUGUAUUUAAAUGUCUUAUAUCUCCGCCCUAUAACAAUGUAUUGUUGACCAAUUUACAGUUGAACAUAAAUUAUAGAGCCUUUGCAUGGCAAAAUUACGCAACUUCUAUAAUUUUAAUAUGACAGAUACCGUCUAGCGGUUCAGUGUGUGCCGGAUCAAGAAUAAUUUUUUUCUACCGCAAAGACUAGUGUAUUUCCCUUAUAUGCAAAUGCUUUGCGUAGUUGACUUUUCCCACAUUAGUUAGAAACUGGUAUCUGUCAUAUAUUAUAUCUCCUUAUUUCUGAUUCUUGCUCCGAAAAUGCAGCCUACCCUCCUUUUAUGCUAAACCCUUAGGACCAUGUAAGUUGGACAGGCCAUCUUUAUUUGGUACCUCUAACCAAGUAGCUGUGAGAAAAUUUGGCUGGCACACACUGGACAAGCAAAAAUAUUAGCAAGUAAAAUUUUUUCAAACGGUAACGUGUGAAAUUGUACGAUAACAAGCUACUAAGUACUAAGAACUCGCCAUAUAAACAUCCAUGAAUGAAGGAUUUUGAGGGUUGAACAAUCAGAAAACGUAGACUAAACUCUGCCGUUCUUCAACCGAAAGAUAUCUAUGUGCUUUACUAAUAAAGAUUCCCCUUUCUUUAAGCGACGCCAACAACUGCAAUUCAGUGAAUAAGUGGAUACAUAAGCAUACAAUGAAUAAGAGAGAGAUUUUGUGAAAAUUGUACAAUGUAAAGAAUACAUAAGCGUAAAGAGCUCACCAAAUUUAGCACUUUCACUCACUUCAUCACCAUCUGAAGAAUGUGUCCCAACUUCAUAUUCAGAAUUCUUGAGUUUACUCUCAUUCUUCCUCUCAUGCAUAGCGGCCUCAAUUCAGUACUGUCAAUCUUCUUGUUUUCAGGUCCAUAACCGAGCUUAACCUGAUUUUGCUUUACUGGAGGAGUAUUCAUUUUGAGUGUAAGAGCAUCAACAUUUUGCUCAUUAUUUGAUAAUUUAAAACAAUAUAAACCCUGCAACUAAACUAACAAAUACUUGAUUAACUAACAUUUUACGGAGCUUGAAACAAAAACAAAAAAAACCAUAUAAAUCUCCCAAGAUGCUGUUUAUUCUGUCUUUUAACCAAUAACCUGCAAAAGAAAGGAAUAAAUUAAGUAAAACAUACCAGUUUGUUCUCUUCAAGCGUGGAUGGAAGAAUGAUCAUGAAGAAAUGUGAGCAAGUCUGUCCCAAAGAAUUUGAUAUCAUAGAUUCUGCUCAACCACUGGAAUCCAGUUCCUCAAUUUUUUUUCAUAGCUCAGAAACUAUUUCUGCUUGAUCUUGUGAGCUGUGAUUUGCCUGCAACUUAAUAUACUGUCUUGACUCUUGUGUAAUCUAAGGGACCGGUGCUACUCAUAUAUCCAUGUUGUAGCUUUUAUAAUCAUAAUAAUACCAUUUAAAAGGAUCUUCGAAUGCUCCAUAUAUUAUUUGAUGAACCAAUGAAUGAGCAGGUUUUUUUGCUGGCAUUGACUCCAACUACUCUGCAUUGAAAUUUCGGGCCCAUCAGCUGCUGGUAGGAGCCAAAUCAAGACUACUUUCAUUUUUUGGACCAGCUUUAUACCACAAAAUAACCCUCAAAUGUUGAAAAGAAAAUGGCCAUGCAAGUUCAUUCUUACUCAUCCUGGGCUUCACCAUAAUAACAUAAUUAACUAAUAUGCAAUCUGCAUAGUUAACUCCAAAGAGAUUAAUAUAAUAUGGACAUAUGUUUCGAGGUCUUGGCCAAAAACACAAAAAUUUGGCCCAAUAACGUAAAAAUUGUGUAUGGUAUAUGUAAUAUAUUUUAUUUGAAAUAUUUAUUUUUUGCUUAAUAUUAACAUAUGCAUAGAGAGGUUAUUAUAAAAUUGAAAAUUGAAAGACCAUUAGCUAAGUUAAAAUAAAAUUAAAAGUAGUUCAUUUGUCACGGAUUGCACUUUUAAAAAAAUAAAAAAAUUUACACUUUGCAAAAAAAAGGGAAAAAACCACACCUUCAACAUUCUUUUUUAUUUUUCUUUAAUAAAAAUAACUAUUUCAAAAUUUCAUUUUAAACAUGAAGAGCCAUCUAUUUUUCAACGACUUUACAUCCAAUAUUUAAAAUUUUAAUUUACAAGUAUGCCGAAGAUGAUUGGUCAUUUGCCGUUUUGUAGUCAAAUGAUGUGACAUUCGGUCUAAUUACAACAAAACGACAUGAUAUCCAUGUCAACUUCACAAAUGAUAAAGCAUAAAUAGUAUAUGCCGAAGCGUAUUGUUUAUGAUUCAUCGUUUGAAUUAUAAGAAAAAUAACACGUCAUUUAGAUGAUAAGUGCGGACAUGAUGUGAUAGACAAUUAGUUUUCUUGAAAAUGACACGUCAUCCUACAAGUUAAAUUCUACACGAUUUCAAUGAAUGUAAGAGGCCGUUUAUUUUUUAACAACAAAUAAAAUAAUAAAAUAUUUGAGUUAUUCAUGUAUUUUUGCAUGUUUAAUGGUUUGCUUUCUAACAAUAAAUAAACUAAGAAAAUAUUUGAAUUAUUCGUAUAUUUUUUCAUGUUUGUUUUCUUGAAAAUAAGUUAUUUGCAUAUUUCGGUAAAAGUAAUGAAAAGACUUUAGUUUCGAAUUCAUAUGUAACUACGAAUAUAUAAUCACUUUGCCUCUCAUUGGGCUCAAUCUAAAUUUGGGCCAAUAGUGCAAAAAUUGUACAUGUUAUAUGUAAUAUGUUUUAUUUGAAAAUUUUAAAUUUUUUUCAUAAUAUUAAUAUAUGCAGAUGGAGAGAUUACGUAUAAAUUGAAACUUGAAAGAUCAUUAGCUAAAUCAAAAUAAAAUCAAAGAUAACUUGAAUUGCACUUAAAAAAAAGAAAUUACUUUGGAAAAAUUGAAAAGAAAAAAACCACACCAUGGAGAUUGCUUUUCUAUUUUUCUUUAAUGAAAAAUGAUUAUUUUAAAUUUUAACUUAAGACAUGACGAGUUAUCUAUUUUUUAAAGAUAUGACAUCCAAUAUUUUAAAUUUUAAUUUACAAGCAUGCUGAAAACUACUGAUCGUUUGUCAUUAUAUUCACAAACGAUGUGGGACAUUUUGAUGAAUUACUUAAAACGACAUGCCAUUCAUUUCGCUUUUACAAACGACAAUUCGAAAAGUCAAUGUGUCCGUGCAUACUCGUUACCAUGUGAUUUUUGUAUUCUAGAGAAAAUAACACAUCAUUUUCGGUAUUAGCAUAGAGACGACAUGCCAUACCAUUAGUUUGCUUGACAAUAAGACGUUAUCUAGCGAGUUGAAUUCCACAUGAUUUCAGCGAAUGCAAGAGAUUGUUUGUUUUUUAACAAUUAAAUAAAUUAAUAAAAUAUUUCAGCUAUUCACAUAUUUUUUUCAUAUUUGUUUUCUCCAAGACUUAAAAUAAGUUAUUUGUAUAAAGUAAGAGAAAGACUUUAUGUAUAUAUACAUAUUCCAAUAAGUUUGUAAGGGCCAAUAGAAGGUUUUAGAGUCAUAAGAUGAAAUUAUUGGGCUAGAGUUGACCUCAGCAACUAUGUAAGCCCUAUGCUUCUUUCCCACUAGUUGCCCUAAUAUAAGAAAAUGAUCUCUUGGCUACACAACGGCUCAUUGUAAAUUUGGUCCAGUAGUGUAAAAAUUAUACAUAUUAUGUAAUAUGUUUUAUUUGAAAUGUUUAUUUAUUUUUUCAUAAUAUUAAUAUAUGUUGAUAGAGAGACCAUGAAUAAAUAAAAAAUUGAAAGUCCAUUAGCUAAGCUAAAAUAAAAUAAAAGGAAGCUCAUUUAUCUUGAAUUGCACUAUCAAAAAAAUAAAAUUAUAAAAAUUUGUACUUUGCAAAAAAUUCAAAAGCAAAAAACCACACCGUCCAGAACUCCAGAUUGCUUUUCUAUUUUUUAAUAAAAAUGAUUUUUUUCUGCUGUACCGUACAUCCGCCUUAGCCGUACAGCAGGAUAAUAGGAAUCAAAUAAACUAGAAAUACUAGUCAUAUGAUCAGAAGCACCCGAAUCAAUAAUCCAUGGUGCAGUAGUUGAGUGGCUAAAUAGAGCAUUAAUAAUACUACCUGUUUGGGCUAGUGAACCACUAGGAGUAGCAGUAGUUGAACCACUAGGAGUAGAGGAAAUUUGGUCAGACAUGGUAGGGAAGAGAUCAGAAAGAAAGGGAGGCUAGCUCUGAUACCAUGUGAAAAUAGGUAGAGAAAAAGUUUAUGGAACAAUUCUCAAUUUUAUUACUUCAUGAGACUGUACACAGUCUUAAUAUAGGGAUACAAGAGACUAAGAAAGGAAAGGAAAAAAUUAAAGCAGAAUAUUACACACUGAUUUCUAGGAAGCAAUAACUCUCUAUAUUUACACCAAAUAUACACCUAAAUAUAUAAGGAAAACCAAAUCACAAUUUGAUUUGGUCAACCUUUCAACAAAAGCUGUUGUUUAUUGAAUAGCAAAGUAUAGGUGGCAAUUAAGGAGAAUGAUAUAGUAAAAAUGAGUGUUUUAGUAGGGAAAUUGUGGUCGUAGAAGAAAGAUAAUGGAGUAGAAGAAACAAGCAGAAAUCAGCUCCUAAGACUUGAUUAUGGUGUUUGAAAGGGACAAGCAAAUGACUUCUAAGGAUUGGUGGUUUAAAGAAUAUAAGAAACGAAAUGAAUUUAAUGGAAAUGUGCAGUCCUUACUUUUUUAGGGAUGUUGUGGCAAGAAAGAAAUAGUCUAUUUUUUAAUAAGACAAGGAAGAGGAUGAAAACUGGCUGUGGUGACAUAGUGUGAAAGCGAUAAUAGAUGUUGAGAAUUAAAUGAAUAUUAUUAAUGAAUUGGUGAAAUAAACUAGAAUAACAAGCCUAUUUAUACUAAUAGUAAUUGAUCAUAAACCUAAUAAACUUAUGAUUCCUUACAAGAGCAGGAAUAUGAUUUUAACAAGAAAAUGUAAAGCAAAUCGUAAUUAAGCAAGAAAAAUAAAUUAAACUGCAACUCUACUUGUCCCACAUCACAUGGGACAAAAUCAUUCUUGUGCUUCUCUUUGAGUCUCAGUCUCUAAGGAUUUUGAAGACAAUUUUCUCUUUUUCAUCAAUCUCAAUUGGGGACGGAUCUUCAGUUAAUACUGUUUAAUGGACCUCCUCUAGGUUUUGUAAGUUUUGGGACUAGUAUACUGUUUGGGGUAUGAAUAUGCUGUUUUCGUUUUGUAUAGCCCACAGGAAGCUUAUAAGGCUGUUUUUAUUUCCCUUGUGGACCUCUGGUUAUCUGGUUUGCUUUUAUAUGACUUUUCAAUUCAUUUUAAUAAAAUAUUCUGUUUCUGUUUAAUAAAUUGAAUUUAAAAAAAAAAAGGAAUUCAAUGGAUUGAUAUAGGCCACCAAUUUUAGUUUGGAAUUAUUACCCAAAUCCCAGAUAACAAACAAAGAGGCAAGGCAAAUACCUGUUAAAACAUGAACAUGUAAUUGUUUAUUGCCGAUAUCCAAAUUUGAAAUUUCAGCUGAAUUUGUUGGUGCCCUUGUUACAGCUAUUUACUGCUUCAUGGAUUAUCAUGGGUAAGUCUCGCCUUCCAUUUAAAGUUGGCCAACUGACAGAGUCAAGAUCUUUUGUUCCAGGUUUUCGGAGUUCAUGGUUCCGAUGUAAGGUAUGUUCGGGUCAUGGCUAUGUAGAUUAAAUUUACUUUAAAUACUUUUGAUUCUGUGUUAUACUUUUAAUACGGCCAUGCUUAGUUUUUAAAACUAAGUUUCAUUCACAGUAUCGAUGAUUAAUUAUAACAAAAUAUGGAACAAAAAUCUAACUUCUGGUUGGAUCCUAUGAUUUUUAUACUGCCUUGGGGUUUCUCAUUACAUUCAUUUUGUAGCAGCAUAUAGUGAUCAUCCUAAUUAUAUAUAUUCUUUCUUUUCUUUUUUGUCUAUGAUUUGCUGCUUCUACUGUAGUAGAUCAACUUUGCUGAUGAAAUGGAAGAUUUCAGUGGCAUUUUGACAAAUAGUUUGGUUUGAUAUACUUUGAAGGACAUGAAAGGGUUAUUGUCUCAUACAGAUGUUUGUGGCACUCCAUAAAAGUUUAUGCCUCCAACUUGUUAGAAGUAUUUAGGUGUAGUUAAAACAUUGUGUCAUCAGCCAUCAUGUUUUAAGCCAAGGAAGGCCUAACUAAAAAACAUGCCCAAACCCUUUCAUCUGAUGCACGGAAGAAAUCACCUAUUUUCUUAUCAUGACAUGAACUCUUUCUUGUUGAUUUUGACUAGACAGUACAAAAAGAUCAAAACUUAAGUGGGAUAAGUUAUUACUAUGAAUUUUGUUUAUUAUCUGCCACUUUCAAUAUUAAACAGUUACCGACAUUGGUCAUUUAGGGGAGAAUUAGCCUUCUAUUUCUAUGUGCUUAACAUACGUCUGUUCGUAAUUAAAUUUUUUGGUAAUUGACUCAGACGUUUCUCUAGACAAAAUUUAUGUCAGGACGAGUCCUUUAAUCAGCUGCUGUGCCAUUAAUGUCUGUCCUUGCAUGGUUUUAAACAUUAUCUUGCUAUUUCGUUAAUGAAAGACCAUUUUCUUGCUAAAGAUUACAUUUUCUUUCAUUCAUUCAGUCCUUUUUUUGUUUUUUAAACACAAUUGCUUUUACUGUUGUUUCUUUAGUGUCUCUUCAUGCUUUAUUGUAAAUACUAUAGGUCUUAAUGAGAAUCAUAUUUUUGUUGUUUGGUAUCCUUUGCUUUUAUCAGAUAAGGAACAUUUCCGUGCGGCAUAAAGAAGUAAUGCAUGCCUUGGAAUAUCUAGACUUUCCAGAUGAAAGUAAGUAGUAUCUGUUGUUUGUGUGCAUAUGCCUUUGCCAUGCAUUUUCAUUUAUGUGUAUGCUUGUCACAAAUUUAGCCUUGGGAGUGAAUAGUUCCUUCACUUGUGCUUUUUUGACUGAACUGUAGUUAUAACUUUUCUCAUAUGUUUGGCAAAUCUAAGCGUUGUUUCUAGACCUUUCAUGGCAGAGAUACUUCCAUUGGAUGAUUAUUAUGGUUCUGCUAGUGAGUUGAUUUUUAUCUGCUUUUCAUUGUUAUUUGAUGUGUGGUCUUCUGUAGAAAUACGAUGGACAAAGUUAUAUCAGAAACCUGUUGGUGGUUCUAGAUCGAAGGAGAUGAAAAGACAAAUAAUGGUUCGCCCAUCCUUUCCUCCUAUAUUUUGUGAAAGUCAAAUGCCUGACGUCAACAACAUUACAGAAGUGGUUGUUAUUGUCAAUGAUGUAUGGAAGGUGGGGGAUUUGGUUGAUUGGUGGACUGAUAAUUGUUAUUGGACUGGAAGGCUAACAGAAAUACUUGGGGAUGGGAAGGCUCGGGUAAUAUUUUUGCACCUCAUUUAUGUUAUGUACUUAUUGAGACUUCUUAAUAUGGCUUGUUCCUUGUUAUUUUAUUUCAUGCCUACUUUGAUAGGCUGUAUGCAUGUUUUUUAUGACAGUAUGCUGUUUACAAUACUGCUCUUGUUAUGCAAUAAUGGAGUCUUGUUUUCUUAUAAAUUUUUUCUUUUCUAACAAUUUUCUCCUAGUAUUAUAAUAUAAAUUAUUGCAUCAGAAUUCCACUUUCAUAUAGCAUAUAACAUCUGCAGUGGAGGAAGAAUUUUCAUAUUAUCAUGAAAAAAAAUUCUCUCUUCUUACCCUAGCGCUUCACAGCAUGGCUUAUUACUCUGUGUGAGAGAGUAUUCUUUCCGGAGCUUAUACUUUUCAAUUUCUGUUAGUUGCUCAACUGAGUUUCAGUAGUUUGGCUAACAUACCUUUACCGGAGGGGGUGAGUUAUGAAGGGAGAGAGGGACAAAUUCCUCCCACUUGGAACUCUGAAUCUUUUCCAGUUUACAUAGUUACUAAUCCCUAGUUCCUGCAUUUGGCACAGAGCUUUUGAGUCUUAAAAUAUUUAACUUCUGGAAUAAUUGUGGCAAAUAUGCAGUAGGUAAUACAUAUUGUUUCAAGAAUCUGGAGCGGAAAAAAGUGCUUCUGCACCGAAUACAUGGAAAAAGAUGCAUAAGCAUGUGAAUAUUCUAAAACAAAUUCUCAUCUCAAUACCUUUCGGAAAAUCUUUUUUUUUUUUUCCCUUUCCUUUCUCGCUCUUUUGACGUUUUCAUGUGGGAAAAGUGUUUGUCCUUUUACAAAAGAAGUCAAGAGAACCAUAGUAAUGUCACCUUUGUAGUACACAAUGGAAAAAUUUUGAGGGAUAUGAUCCUUAUAUUUGUUGCAGAAGAUCAUUUAAAAUAGUAAUGUAAUUGUAGAAUUGGCAGGCAGUCUUUUGACCACUGCAUACUAGACAUCUUUUAAUUGAGGUUUAACACUAUUUUCAUGUAAAUUGUAUAGGUAAAAAUCAUAAGGCAGUGAACAAGAACAUUUUUAUGACUUUUGCAUUAUGUAUGCACUUUUUCAGGAGGGAACUGUAAUUGAAACUAAAUCUCAGUAAUGUUGUGUGCAAAGGUUUUUUUUAAUUUUAUUUUUUUCUCAUCGUUUUUCCUUUUUCUUGUUCUAACAGAAACAGUUUUAUUAAUUGAUAAAUUCUAAACCCUCAUCAUGUCUUUCUACAAGCCUUUGUAACUUUAAGGCUUGAAUUUCAAGAUUACGAAUGGGUUAAUUGCUUAAUUGGAGGAACUAUUUUUUAAUGAAAAAAUAUUUUUAGUCCACCUUUUGGUUUCUCCUGAGAAAGCUUUUUUACAAUUAUAUAUUCUAUUCUACAGAUUGAGCUCCUACCACCUCCGGUUGGUGAGGGGUUGUCUUAUGAAGUUUUCCUCAAGGACCUACGCCCAACCUUGGAAUGGUCUCUAGACAAUGGCUGGACCGUGCCCACUUCUGUAUUGUCUCUUUCUCCUAUGUCUACAUUUUUAUGCUUGUCUGUAUUCUUUUUCAUUUUAUUCCUUCAAAAUAUAUUGCUGCUUAAAACCUUAAACCUUUUAUGACUUGUUAAAUGCAUGACACUGGCAUCUUGUUACUUGAAAGGCAAUUUAUAUUGAUAAACAAUUUUAUGAAAGGAGAAGUAAAAGGCCCAAUGGCCUAUGGGCUUAGGCACCUUGUAUUCAAAUGUAGAUGAUAUCCUUCUGCCAUAUGCAGAUACCUUGUAUUCAAAUGUAGAUAAUGAUCCUUUUUCUAUGUGGCCUAGAUACCUUGUACUCAAAUGUUGAUACCAUGUAUUUGACCUUGUAUUCAAAUGUUGAUACCAUGUAUUUGUUUUCCUUACUUGUUGGCAAUGGCUAUCUUUUGAAGGAGAAAGAAAGCAGUUAUUGUGCUCGGAUAAUCAAGCCACUGAAUCCUGUGAAUCAAGGUAGGAGUGCUGCCAGAUGCACCAUGUCUCUGCUCGUUGUUUAAGAGCAGAGCAUGGUAGUCUGGGUGCAUUUCCAUUUCUCUUCUUUUCAUUUUUCGUCCCCCAAUUUCUGGUGCUCUUGUGCUGCUACCGUCUGAUAUUAGUGUUGGCCAAAAGAUGUAGACAACUAGACCUAAGAAUGUAUGUCAUUUUUUUUUUUUUCUUGCAUUCAUGUCUAUGCGACUUACAAUUUCUGAACUCCAAUAUCUAAGUUCCUAUAUGAGGACUAUAAAGCCUGGGAUUAAAUGCAGAAAUUGCUUUUCCUGAUCGAUAUUGUUGUUUCAAUAGAAACUUCCUGUAUGCAAAUUUGCUAUACACUGUGUACUGAUGUUGGUGUGCAGCGAUCCAUUCUCUCUUUAUGGAGGACAUUGUUUGAUUCACUCUGGUUUCAUAGAAUGUGGGAUCUGCAAUAUCAAAUUGUUAGGAUUUAGGAAGUUGUUAUAAAUUGAUAAGGAUUUGAGACUAACCAACAACUUUGAGUAUAUGACAUAUGAUUGCAUAACAAUAAUUUAGUUAACAUAACAGCUUGAAUUCUGCUGGCGGGUGGAGAAACCUACCUGGACUGGGCCUGUCUAUGAUUAUCAGAUUUCAUCUGCUUAUAUAAAUAGAGUCACAAACAUACUUUCAUUUUUGGGCAUUGAGGAAACUCUCAUCCCUGCUAGAAAAUUUGGCUUGAUGCCCCUUGAAGUUGUUUGAUAACCAUUGAAGAGGUAUAAUUGUAAGUGGGAAUAAUGAUCAGGUGCGGGCAGUUGCACACCUUAUAGAGCGUGACUGUGCUCAGCUGAUCAGAACCCUGUUAGUAUAUACUGAUAGGGUAGUAUCAGCUUUCAAUGAGAAGUUCUAAUAUUAACCUAUCUUCUGGCUUACAAGAAGGAUCUAAUUUAAUUUUUAUUAUGGUUUGAAUUUUUAAAUUUGAUGGGAACUUCUGUUUCUGCAGAGGGCUCUCAAAACUUGAUGGUCCCUCCAGUAGAAAUGACAGAGAAUGCUCAGCCAACAGCUGGACCAUCACCUGAAUGUAAUGCUUCAUUUUCUUCUCGUAUGUCGACUAGUUCACUACCAUCUCUGGACAAAUCAGAGCGACAUGCAAAGCGACCUUUGAGCCCUGCGGCUUCUAAGGAGAUGCAUGCACUGGAAACAAAAAUGGGCUUUGAUGCGGUGGAUUCAGGCAUUGGGAAAUCAAGUUAUUCAGAUAGUGUUUCAAGUUCACAAAUUAGAGAUGCAGCAACUGAAAUGCCUGAUACUGAUGCCGGAAACAAAAGUUGUGAGAAUAGUGGAUCCUCAAAGAAGAUGAGAUACGAUAGAAGCAUUCCUUUAAAUUCGUCAUUUUCUGAUACAAUAGAAGCAGCAAUCUUAGACUAUGAGGAACUUGUAAACCGGGUUAAAUGGAUCAAGGCUAUCUUACAGUCGGGGACUAUUCCAUCGAAUACCGUGCGACCAACGUGGAAAUUUUUGGAGCACCGAUCAUCAAAAAAGAAGGUUAGCUUGCUUAAAUGACUACCUUUAGACUUCAGUGUGAAUGUCUGCAUUAGUAAAAAAAAAAAAAAAUUAAUGUGCUGUUCUCUCUUAAUCGAUUUUGGUCCUAUUGAUAUUCCAGGAUUAAGAUUGAAUCUCUAGCUGAGCUUGGGACCUUUCAACACCCGUUUAAAUCACUCUUUGGAAACAGAGAGGAUGGGAAACUGAAGUUAAUUAGUAAGUUUUCCCUUCUGAUUUGCCUACCGGAACAAAGUUUGUCGGUUCUAUGCAUACUCCUGACUAUUGGUGAUGGAAUGAAUUAUCAGCUUUUAGAAGACAUUAUUUUCACUUCAAGAAGAGUUAUCGGGAGCAGUUCUGGGUCUGUUUUCGCUUGGGCGGUUUCUUUUGCCAGGUGUAAUAUCUGCUUGGUUGUACAACAACUAACCUUUGAAAGGAUUGAUACAUACAUACAUACAUACAUAUACACACACAAAUGUGUCAACCAUGUUGGAUUUUAUUCCAAGCUUAUUUUUUUGGACCUGCAUACAUACAUUUGUUAUUCACACGCAAACGUGUCAACCAUGUUGGAUUUUAUUUCAAGGCUAUAUUUUUGGAACUACAAGCUUAUACGGGCAUGUUUUGGUAUCAAUUUGGAAAUUUAGUCAAUUCAGGGUAGAUUGUUGGCAAAUUCAAUCAAAUAUUCAAAUCCACAAACACAAAAUAAUAAUAAUAAUAAUAAUGAUAAUGUUGUCAAAAGAAAUAUGUUCUUAAUGGGAUUAGUUGAUAAAAUUUUGUCUUAUUACUUGAAGUAACACCAAGCCCUCGAGGGGUCUGCUAAGAUGUUCUUAAUGGGAUCAGUUGAUAAAAUUGUGUCGUCAUGUCUCUUAUGUGGUUAAAAAAAUCACUUUUAAGAUAUGGAUUAAAUUAAAUUAAAUUAAAUUAAAUUAACUGAAAAAUGAGGGUGCUUGAGAGGCGAGGAUAACCGGUGACCGCGAGACACCUGUCAGGUGCCAGCAGCUCACCCCCUAAACAUCCUCUCAGGGGCCAAUUUCGUCGACUUUGGAAAUCACACGCGCCGGGCGUCGACGUUUCUUUUUUAAACCGCACGGGGGAAACACCGGACAAAGACCCCACAAAUUGCCCGCUAAGGGAAGGGUUUAGGGUUUAAUAAAGGCACGGGCAAUUUCCAAACCCCACACCCCCCAGCAUGCCUUGCUCGCUUCCUCACUCUCCUAAUAAAAAAUGUACAAACACAUAAAUCUAUCGAUGUGGGAUUCUUCUGCCGUUUCUCUGCACCGAGCCCCAAUUCGCUUAGCGAAACACAAAUUUAAUAGUUAUUCUUCAUGGAUGACGUUAGUUUGUUGGAGGACAUAAAAGUAAUUUUCUUUUAAAUUUGUUAUUAUUAUUAUUAUUUUUGGCGUAGAAAAUUUCUCUAUGGUCCAAAAUUUUAGAUACUGUCACGGAUACGCAACGAAAUAUUGUCGGAGUAGAGCGACAAAACAUUUUUUUAUCAUAUGUGGGCUCUUCUAUGGUUGAAAAAUAAAAGACGUCUGUGUUUUUUCGGCCUUUUGGAUAGUGUUAGUACUCUAGUGGUGUUUGGGCAACCUCGUGAUUCCCUUAGCGACUUGCUAUCGGGCCGCCAAAAUUUGUUUGUCUUUUCGUAUGUUCUGAUGCUGCCUUUGUAAUGAUUAACGUAUUUGAUUUUGGAAACCUCUCUCACUGUUAAAAGUGAUUGAAACCCUUUAAAAUGAUUAAUAUGUUUCGGUAUUUGUUUUGAAAACCUCUUCUCCCUGUUAAGUAAUUAAUUCAUUGAACAAUUAUCUUUGGUUUCGCCUCUGUGAGGUCAUAGUGAAUGUACAAUCCCAACUUCACUUGAAGAAAAUCCAAUAAGAGCAAGUUGUUGAUUCAUUCACUUACUCAGAAUCCCUUGGAUCUAUUAUUGCAUGUCACACCCCACCUGUUUGCAAUUGAACAACUCUUUGAAAAGCCAUGAUACUUUAGACCACGUGAAGAAAUUUUUUUUUGAUAGAAUGUUAAUACAAACAAUAUAUGAUUAGGCGGCUGGAUUUAAUAUGUUAAUUGAAAAAUAUUAAAAAGACAAAGAAAAUUGACGGUGCGUUUGGAUUAAGUUUAGAUAGCUGUAACCUUUAAAGUGUAACACUAAAAUACUUGGUAAACACUAGUUGUUGUAGCUUGGAAUAUAUGCUGAUAUGAUUUUUCACUUGUAUAAUGAAAAAUCUAUUGUAUCUUUAAUAAUUUUAUGAAAAUUAUUAUUUUAAAUUUACAUUUACAAUAUAUUACUAACUUUUAUUUCAUAGUUAAAUUUUUUUUUCCACAAUAACUAUAACUUAAAAUAUACAACAUCUCAAUUUCAUACGCAUCCUAAGUAUGGUGUUAUUAACUUGUUUCUGUCGGCACUCUAUCAACCUUUAAUUUCUUUAGUAUUUUGACUCUCUUUAAAAGCAAAGCACAUAUGUACUUUAUGGACCAACUCUAAGCUAAGGAUGAGAGCAAACAAAGCCAUGGAGAAACAACAAAACUCUCUCCCACUUCACGUUAGCCAUGUUAAAAAAUCCUCCUUAAUAAUCAAUAGGUCAUUGGUACUGCUUCAUUUUACAUCCUUAGCUUUCUUGGUGUACUACAGAGUCUCUUAUUUCUUCCAAGUAUCCAACGCCAGAGCCGCGCCGCUGUUGCCAUGGCUUCUAGUCUUUGCUGCCGAGCUUCUCCUCUCCUUUCAGUGGCUCCUAGGCAUAGCUUAUCGCUGGCGUCCCAUUUCUCGUACCGUUUUCCCCGAAAGGUUACCGGAAGCCGAUCAACUUCCGGGUAUCGAUGUGUUUAUUUGCACUGCGGAUCCGACUAAAGAGCCAACUGUGGAGGUAAUGAAUACGGUUUUGUCAGCUAUGGCGCUUGAUUAUCCGCCAGAGAAGCUGCAUGUUUACCUUUCAGACGAUGGAGGUGCUUCUAUAACUUUGCUUGGUAUGAGGGAAGCUUGGAAGUUUGCAAGAUCGUGGCUUCCGUUUUGUAAGAGGUUUGGGAUCAAAACAAUAUGCCCUGAAGCUUAUUUUUCUGAUCCAGAGAAUGGUGAUGGUGACUCUGGAAAUGCUGAGUUCAUUGUUGAGAGGGAAAAGAUUAAGGUUCGUUUGUUAUUAUUACUGUUAUUAUGAUACUAAAAUCUUAGUCCUGAAAAUCUGAAGUAGAAAGAGAUUUAAGAAAUAUGUUGAAACCUUCUAACUUAUUUAGGUUGAAAAAGAAUAAUUUUAAUGCCAUUUUUCUAAGAUGCUUUUUAAAUCGUUUGUUUUUGUUUUUUGAGUGCAUAGACAUUCUAUUGAGAUAGAUUUGUUGAUUGCAAAUGCUUUUGGUGCAGGAAAAAUACACUGAGUUCAAGGAACGGGUAACGAGAGCCAUUGAAAAAUGGGGGCUAGAGAACGAAGGCAUUUCCAGAAGUCGAGAUCAUCCUUCUGUGGUUGAGGUAUAAUAAUAUGAUGAAAAUAUCCAUUCCCAUACGCUUGAUCAAUAAUGCUAUAAUUUGACUUUGACUUUUUUUUUUUUGGGGUUAAAGUAGCAUAGUGAUUUUGACUCUUUUGGCAUCACAGCAUUGAAUCCUACUUUCACAGACAGAGACCCUCAUAAAAAAUAACAAAGAGAGAUAAGGAUUAAACUAAAAUUUUACUCAUUUAAUGUUUGGUCCUUAUCGAUUCACUUUUUUUAUGACAUAUGACUUCUCUUGAGUUUGUUAUUGUUAUAUUAUGGUCCCUAUCGGAUCAAAAUUUUAGUUGCAGCCAAAAAUUGAGAAUCCGGAGGGACCAAAAGUCAUAAGAGUAAACUUUUAAGAGUGUAAACUUUUAAGAGUCGCAAUUAAAAAGAAAAAAAAAAAGAGUAAACAUAUUAAAAUAAGGGUAAAAUAUCAAGUUGACAAAAUCAUAGGGCCAAUUCUUAAAAGAGUUAUUAACAACUUAAUAUGUGUUUUUUUUUUUUUUUUGGGUGUUUUCGCUAUUGAGUAUACUUAACGACACGACUGGUGAUUUCAUUUUUCUGCAGAAUCUGGCUAUUAAAUUAUAUAUAAUCGGUUCACAUAUACGCAUAUUUUUCAGGUGAUAGGAGAAAACGAUAAUGAAGCAGCGAAUGAGGAACAACAAAUGAAUAAUAAGAUGCCUCUCCUUGUCUAUGUUGCUCGCGAGAAAAGGCCUUCUCAUCCACACAAUUUCAAGGCUGGAGCCUUAAACGUUCUUGUAUGAUCUUCUCUAAUCAUUCACACUCACACACACAUGGUGCAUAAUUUAAUUGCAUGCAUAUGCUUAAUAGAAGCUGUUGUUGAUGUUGUAGCUUCGGGUUUCCGGUGUAAUGAGCAACUCUCCCUAUAUAUUGAUGCUAGACUGUGACAUGUAUUGCAAUGACCCAACUUCGGCUAGGCAAGCCAUGUGUUUCCACAUUGAUCCCAAAAUCUCUUCCUCGUUAGCAUUCGUUCAGUUUCCUCAGAAAUUUCAUAACAUCAGUCAGGAUGAUAUUUAUGACAGCCAGCUCCGAUAUAUAUUCUGGGUAUGACCAUAUUGAACCCUUCUGGUGCCGGCGUGCGUACCCAAAGGAUAAUUAUUUGCCGUUCAUUAGGCUGCUUAAUUACAUUUUUGUCAUCACUCAUUUGAUUGCUAAUUUGAAUUUUUUUUUGUUGGUAAUUUACCAUUUUAGUCAUUAUGGUACGGUAUGGAUGGGCUAAAGGGACCGAUCGUGUCUGGUACAAACUUUUACAUGAAGAGGGAGGCACUUUACAGCGUUUCUAUGCAAGAAGGUAAAUUUGCUAGCAACUAAUUGAUGUGCAUAUAUCAAUUAAUAAUGUAACAUGUUUGUUAAAAUAAUAAUAAUAAUUGCUAUUUUCACUUAACUUUUAUUAUUGCAACAUUUAAAGUUUGUAGUUCUUGUUUAUUAUAAUAAACAGGCAUUGACCUCACAGAGCUGAAGAAUUCUUUUGGUCCAUCCAAUGAGUUCCUCAAAUCUCUUCGUCGAAACUCCAAGCCAAGCAGAUAUGAUAAUGAUUCAUCAAGCACUUUGCUACAAGAGAGCAAAUUUUUGGCCUCAUGUGCCUACGAAAGUAACUCAAAAUGGGGUGAAAAGGCAUGUGUCUAUCGUACAUAAUCAAUACCUAAAGGAACUAAUUAAAUUAUUGUGAUGACACAUUGUGUUUAUUUACUAACCAAAGCUAUCUAGCUUUUAACAUGCAGGUUGGUUUUAUGUAUCAUUCUCUUGUUGAAGAUUACUUCACAGGAUUUAAACAACUACACUGCAAAGGAUGGAGAUCGGUGUAUCUUAACCCGGAAAGGCCGCAAUUUUUGGGCACUUCUACAACAAACUUAAAUGACUCGUUGGUUCAAGGCACGAGAUGGAGUUCGGGAUUGGUUCAAGUAGCAAUCUCAAAGUAUUGCCCUCUGAUAUAUGGACCACCGAGGAUGUCUUUGCUUGAAAGCAUGGCCUAUGCUGACCUUGGAAUGUUCCCUCUUCUUAAUUGCUUGCCUCUGUGGUGCUUUGCCACCGUCCCUCAACUCUGCCUAUUGCAUGGCAUCCCAUUGUACCCUGAGGUAAUUCAUAUGUUAUUUGAAUAUAUAACAUUGGUACCUCUAAUGUAUUUACACAAGGUUUUCUACUCUUUACGAUACAUUCUUUUCUUUUCGUCUUAGCUAUUAAUUAAUGUCAAUCUAUUGCGCUUUCCCAUGCAGGUUUCAAGUUCAUCUUUCCCCAUAUUCGUAUUCGUUUUCCUGUCGGCGCUUUCGAAACAUCUAUACGAGGUUCUUUCAACUAGUGGAUCAAUCAAGAUAUGGAGAAAUGAACAGAGAAUAUGGAUGAUAAGGGCAGUCACAUGCCAACUUUAUGGAAGCUUAAAUGCCAUUAUGCACAAGCUUGGCUUAGCUGAAGCCAGUUUCUCGGCCACAAAUAAAGUCGCGGAUGAUGAACAAGUGAAGCUCUACGGAAUGGGCAAGUUCGAUUUCCGAACAUCAAAAAUGUUUCUUGCUCCUCUGGUUACAAUCAUCUUGUUGAACAUUGCAGCCUUUGUUUGCGGAGCUAUCAGAUCAACGAUCAUCAAAGGAGAUUGGGACAAGAUGUUUGUGCAAAUUUCUCUGCCGUUUUAUAUCUUGGUUAUGAAUUAUGCUAUCAUUGAAGGGAUGAUUGUGAGGAAGGACAAUGGCCGCAUUCCGCCAUCUGUCACUCUAUCGUCCGCUUUGCUUUCUGGGAUUUUCUUGCCUUUGGUAUCAAUAAUUCUCAGGCACUAAGUGACAUUAAUUUGUAGUGUGUGGUCUAUUUUCUUAAAUAGUUUCUCUAUCAAAUGUUCAGUUGAUUUAAGAUCUUGACUUCUCGAUUUUGAUUAUGAUUUGCUUUCAGGGUCUGUUAUUGUUUCGUUAAGUCUCUUGACCAACAUAAAAUCAUUUCCCUAUCAAAUGCAUCAAGUCAUUCAUCCGUUUUGUGAGUACCAAUUAGUUGAGGUGAUAAAAUCUUGUGUUAAAAAUUAGACGUUUAGGGUCUGAACCCGCUCCGCUCACAUUAAUUGGACGACAAAGUAAAUGGUCAAUUUUGGUUUUGCACCAACACGUAAAUCUGCACAACUAUCCGAAAAAGCAAGAAAAUUAGAUUCAUUGGUUGAUGUGCUUCUUCUCAGAGUUUCCGCGAAGUUGAUAAAUAUGCAAUGAAUUGACCCUUGGUUAUUUGGCUCUAAUAUAAAUAUUACAUGGACUUAUUGAACGAAGGUUUUUGCUACCUUACAUGCAUGUAAGGUACAGUCUCUCACAAAAUUAGUGGACUCAAGUGAAACCCACAUUUAAAUUUUGUGUGAGGGCUGUACCUUACGUGUAUGUAAGGUAGCAGCUCCCACGAACGAAACGUAUUAUUAUUGUCUACAAGUAUGUUGUGUCAUUACAAAUCAAUAAGCUAAUGACACUUGGAAACCUUUAUCUCAGGUAAUUAUUAUUGUCCAUCCAAAAUUUGCGUGGCAGUGUUCUCAGCCGUUGGCCGAAAAAGCUUGGAAAAUCAGAAUAACUAGCUUAAUUAUAGCAAUGAAAUUCUUUCAUUAAUCUUUCUUGUCGCGUCAAGUCACUCUCUGGAAAGGCACCUCCGCCCGCUUUGAAUGGGAUGGGAGAUUGAUAUUUUCUCUCUACAGUUUGAAAUGUUUUCCAUUUAAUAUCUCUUUCAAAUUUUACAAUAUUUCAAUCACUCUUGUGAUGUCGAAAUCAAAAAAAAAAAAAAUUGAUGAGUUUUUCAACGAAAGCUUUUGUAUUUGGGGUUGGGAACUACAGAGUACGAACACUCUCACGAGUCAAGAGGGUGAUUGGUCAUGCGUGGGGCAUGCAAAGUUAUUAUUGUGGCGAAGACUUUGGGAUAUUAUUGAGUACGGUUUGUUGAAUACGUGUUCAUUAGUUAAUUAGUUUAAAAUUAAGUUGAGUAGUGAUUAUUUUAUUUUAAAUAAUCUUUGAUUAUUUUGUUGCCAUUAAGUAGUGGUUAAUGUUCUAUUUUUUAAGGAUAUUUUUUAGGAAUUAAGAAUAGUUGUUAAUUUUUUUUGUAUUUAAAUUUUUUGACAAUCAUUAAUUAUGAAAGUUGAAUUCAAUUAAAAUUAUUGUAAUUUUUUCUUAUCUUAAGAGAAUAUUAUCGUUACUAUAUAAUUUACGACUUUGACUGGGACCUAUCGGAGGGUAAGUGUUAAACUUUGAAAUCUGUCGAGAGAAGGGGUCGCGUCAUUCUCCCACCUAUAAUUAUAUAUGUUAGUCUUGUCCAUGGAUGUAAAAUGAAUGCAGGCGGAGACGUAACUAGAACAUCGGAGGUCAAAAGUAAAAUAAUCACAAUGUCAAUUUUUAUGCCUUCUUAGGCUCAGGUUUUGGAUUCCAACUUCGACAAGUUGCGUGAGUGAGUGAGUUAAUAAUAAUAAUUGGCGGAAAAAAAAAAAAAACUGAGUGAGUUAAUAAUAAUAAUUGGCGGAUAAUUGGCGGAAAAAAAAAAAAAACUUAUCCAUCAUGCCUUCUUGGCAUGAUAGAUAAGCACUGUCUCAUUAUAUUUGUCUGAUUUUGUUGGAAGUUGCGAAGAAAUAUUAAUCAUUGUCAAUUGAAAGUUCUUUUUUUAUUUUUUAUUUGUCUAAUUUUGUUGGUAUAUAUAGUGAUUUUGAACAAAAGAAAAUUUUAAAUUUUUUAUUCAAGUUUAUUUUAUUUGAGGUGUUCUUGAAACAAGGAUGCCAAUGUCUAUUGGUACUGUGCUCGAAUGCCUGCAUGUAUAUUUUGUUAAUUUGGCAGGAAGAGAUUGAUUUAGGUGUGUGCGAUGUCGAUCCUUUGAGCUUGGUUACUAAUAUUACUCCAUAAUUUAUAAUCAAUUAUUGAAUUAAUUUGAUCAUUAAGGGUAUAUAAGUUAUUUCACCUGAUUUGUGUUUUCAAAAAAUUUAAAUCUUAUGACUAACAUCAAAAUUAAGGUUAAAAUAGUAAAAUUAUAAAUAAAGUUAACACCGUUAUAAUUAUAGGGGGUUUGGACCUAUUCUAAAAUCUAAGGAGGAUUUCGCUUAAUUUCUCCAAACAACAUAAAGAUAAUCCCUAUUUUCCUUAGUGAAGAGGCAAAUGAUUUGUAUAAUACAAUGUGCAUUUGUCCUUUGUAUCAAAGAAAAUAUGAAACAUAAAACUAAACAUUUUUCUUGAACACAUAGAACGUGGACAUCGACUCUGACACUUUUGUUUGACGCACUAGAGUUUUUCUUAUAUUUUGACUAUUAGGAUUUGGCUAUGAUUCUUGUCCAUUAAUGCUGUAGAUAAGGAGAUAAAAAUCUUUUAAGAAAAAUCAAUGAAUUGUGUUGUGGGAAAGACUUCAGAUUUUGGUAUAUCCAACCUUAUAGUAACUCCUCAUUGCAACCACAUGUCACACAACUCAGUAUUUAUUUUAUUAUUUUAUAGGGUGAGACUAUUUGAAUCCAUAUUUAUACUCGUUAUACCUAUUUGAUAAUAAAAUUUUAUAUCACAAAAAUAUCCUCAUAUAUAAUUACGAACCAAUCCUCUUUUAAUUUCUUAUCUCUCUUGCAUCCGGCUUUGUGUAUAUUUUCUCAUUAAAUUGAUUUUCGUUAAGGUAGAAAAAUGCUAUUCCAUGAAAUUAUACAAUUUAUUAAUAGCUAAUUCAAUUAUAGAUGCUAUCGAAAUUAAAAAUAAUCUCUUGGUUACCAUAAGAAAAUUGAUUUUUUUUUCCAGAAAACAAUUAUAAACUACCACUCCACUCCUUUCCGGUCCAAAAUAUUUGCGGGUGAACCAAUAUUUUUCCAAGGCACUAGUUUCAUAUUUUUAAAAUGUUUGCAAUUGGUCAACUCAUUAACUUUCCUGUUGGGGUAAAAAAAAAAGUAUCAAAAUAGUUACCAUUAUAACUUCUAUCCAUUCUUGUAUUUGGGAAGAUAUUUGAUAUAUUUAUUAUUUUUUGGGUUAGAUUGGGGAGAGAAAUUUUUCCCCCCACUCCAAAAGUAUUAGAAUUUUCGGCAAAAUUCUUGCUGGUUGCUGCAAUUUCAGAUUUCGUUUAUAUUCGUGUGGAAGUAUUUUUUGGAAGCAAAUGCAUGAGAGAAGCAGAUGAACGAAGAAGGGUUAGUUUUGGAAUAUGUAAGGGUUUGUUCAGUAAAAAUGGAUGUUUUCAAUUGUAGUGAUGGGUGUAUAAAGAAGAAGAGUUUAAAGAAUAAAAAAUUGGGUUCAAAUAGUCUUACACCAUUUUAUAAGUAAGUUAUUACACUCUAAUUCUCAAUUCCAAAAUUUUGACAGUAAUGACAUUUUGUUUCUUUUCAAAUCGCGGCAUUUCUGUUUUCUUCUAAUAAAGGGCUUGGUAUAAAAAGAAAUCGGGCUGAUCUCGCCUUUCAAUGGGCUGAGCCCACAAAAUACAAGGCCCAUGAGUGUUGAGAGCGGAUUAAUGAAUCACAGCCACGCGCCCCGCGUGGGGAUUUUAAAAUUGAAACGAACCGAAAGGGAUCCCUCUACCGCCUGUCCAAAAUUCAAAAAUUUCAAUGUGUGUAUUCCGAUCUCCAUCUCAAUCACACAUUUGAUUGGAGAAAGAACAACAUUCAUGGAGCCACCGGCUAUGAAGCUGAUCAUGGUCCGGGGCCCACGCUCGGGCGAAACCAUAGAAUUCAAACCCGGAUCCAAAAUCCGAAUCGGCCGAAUCGUGCGCGGCAAUGAUGUCACCAUCAAGGACGAAGGCAUCUCGUCUAAGCACCUCAUUAUCGAAUCCGUGUCCGGUAAAUGGACCAUCCGAGACCUGGAUUCCUGCAACGGCACCUUUCUCAACUCUACGACGCUUCCACCCAACACCCCCUUCGAUCUCCGCGAAAACGACACCAUCAAACUCGGAGAUUGCACCACCAUCUCGGUCCAGAUCAUCACGAUGGACAGCCAGGAUGAGUCGGUCGCGAAGCCGAAGAGGAAUCCGAGGCGUCAAGCGAAUGUGCCCGGGACUUCCAGUGUGAGAGCGACUAGGGGUCGUAAGAAGGCGGAGGCGGAACCCGUCGAGACUUUGGGAUUAGAAGGUGGACAGAUUGAAGAUCAGAGUAAAAUUGCCAUAAAGGGUAGGGGAAGGAACAAGAAUUUACAAGAAAUGCCACCGGAGAGUGUCGAAGUUCAAAUUGAAAGCAAGGAGAAUUUGGAACUAGAAGAGGGUGGAGAGAUUGAGAGUGAGAGUAAACUUACCAAAAAGGGUAGGGAAAGGAGCAAAGAUUUACAGGAAAUGCCACUGGAUGGCGGCAAAGUUAAAAUUGAGAGUGAAGAGAAUUUGGAACCUCUUGAAGUACUUGGAGUUCAAGUUGAUUGUAGAGAAAAUUUUAGACCAGGUAAGGAAACAUCGAAGAAGUGUCAAGUUCAAGUUGAUGGUAAGGAAAAGACGAAUGUGACCCUGACUGCUAGUGUGAGAGUCACUCGGAGCCGGAUGAACGCAUUGAAUUUGGGAUUUGAUUGUGGAGAGAUGGCAGCGACUGAGAGUAAAAUUACUCGAAAAGGUAGAGGAAGGAAGAAGAAAUUACAGGAAAUGCCACCGCAGAGUAGUGAAGUUGAAACUGAAGGGAAGGAACGUCUGGUUCCAGAAGAAGUUUCCAAGACUUGUGAAGUUCAAGCUGAUGGUAACGAAAACUUGAAAUCAGAGGAAGUGGCCAAAGAAGGAGAUGCUAAAGAAACUUGUGAUAAGGUUGAGGAUAAAGUGGACAAUGGGGUUCAAGAGCAGAAGGUGGAUUUGGCGAAGAUGACACUGGGGGAGUGGUUUGAUUAUGUGGAGGUUUAUAUGCGGAAGCAGAUCCUUAAUACGACAGAGGAGAUGAUAGAGGAGAUGAAAAAUAAAGCUGAGAGAGUUCACAAGUACAUGAUUGAGGAGAAGAAGAAGAAGAAGAUGGAUAAACUUUGAGAGAUAUGCACAUUAUUAUUCAUUUUUGGUAGUUUUAGAAAUAUGUAUUUGUGUUUCCUCUGAUUUUAGAGUUAAUGCAAAUUUUAAUGUAGUUGUUGCACAGUGUAUCUUUAUGUCGCACGCGUUUAUCAUUUGGACUUCCUAGAUGUUAUGCAAUAAGUAGUUCCCUUGUAUAAGUACUAUUACUGUUUGAAGUAUCAGAAAUGGAGGGAAACUUUCACUUGCCUAUGAGAUUAGUUGUUGUCGUAGGCAACUCACCAUGCUUGAGUACUUCAAAUUAGGAAAAUGAAUGUGAUGGAAGCUGGAAAGAGUCACUAAUUACGCUAGAGUAGAAUUAGCGUGUAUUAGGAUUAGGAUAGGUCCUUGUUAUCAACUAUUAAUCCUCUUGUGCCAGCUAAGUUCUUCAUAUCCUAAGUCAUUUCAUAAAUGGGCUUAUAUUUAUUUGAUCUGAGGAAUCUGUGACCAAUGAAAUAUAUCUGUUGAUGAAACAUAGUGUAUUAUCAGAUAAUUAACAAAGAAUAUGCUGUUAGAUAAGUGGUAAUACUAUCCUGACCUUUCCAACUUCUUGGGUGAUAAUGUUUUGUUAAGUUGAAAUUGACAAUAAUAUAGUCAUCAGUCCUCCCAAAUCACAAGACUUACAUAUAUUGUGAUUUUAGAUAUUCUUUUUCAGGGGCAGAUCUGGUGCUAAAUUUGAAAGGAAAUCUCCUCAUUUUGGUCCAAAGGAGUGCAAAAUGCACUUUGCAGCUAAGUUCACCGAGCCACUGAUUUUCUGAGAAUCAAGUCUAAUGGUAUUAUGUUCUGCUGAUUUUUGUCCUAAGUCUAUUUUUGGUAAAUGCCUUAGUUUCGAAAUGCUCCUGUUAGCUGAAAUCUCCUCCAAUUUCAUGGAUAACUCUUUAGCAUAAUUUGUAAAAUCUAGCUUACUAAUAGAAACUGAUUGAAAACUCAAGGAUGGUUUCAGUUUAUGAUUUUUGCAUUUGUGAUCGUAACCUUUAAAUUUUGUAUAAAAUGCUGUAGUUGAUUCCUUGAAGUUGACUGUUAUGCCUUUAUUUAAAUUUGGGGUUCAUUGUAGUUCGUGCACAUAAUGCUUAAGUGAUUUGGUAAACACUAUCACUAAAGAGUAAAGACUGGAAAAUAUGAACUUCUUCUAGUAUAAAAAUAUCAAUUUCAAAUUACUCUUGAGUUAUUUAAACUAGGUACCGCAUUUGUUCCUAAUUUUAAGGAUAAACUGGAGGGUAGGGGGGGAGAAUUUUUAAUUUUGAAGAAAAAUAUGAAUGGUUAAAUUUUGCUCAAAAUCCUCUGGCAGACCUAGUCAUGUCUCUUUAAAUGAUGAGCGAAGUUUAGAGGAUUAAUAUUGAAGCGGGCGGGGGAAGGGUAAAAUAAUCAAUAAGGCAUUCAAGCUUUGGUUUUAUUUUCAUUUACUUUUCCAAUUUUGAAGUGAAAACUGAAACCUUUGGUCCUCUACUUAUCCAGAUCAGGUAAACUUAUCUACUGUGAAGUUAAUUUUUUUUUUUUCAGAAUUAUGAUAUAAUAUCAACAAAGGUAACCAAUUUUUAGUUGGCAUGGUCAAAUUUAAUUUAAUGGUUGGCUGAUGUGGUAGUCCCCAUUGAAAACUCAUUUUAAUUAUUUAAACUUUAUGAUCUUCACUUUACAUAUUUCCAAAAACGCUCGAUUCCUUACAUUUAGCCCUAUUGAAAAGUCACCAUACCUGAAGGCACCAGGUUGCAGCCUCCAGUGAGUUUUUCCACUCAUUUGCCUCCCUUUUUGACCAAGAAAAGCCGUCAGUUUGAUUUGAAAGCUAGCAAAUCGCAAAUUCACUUCUGUAUUAGGAAGCAAAACAAGAGAAGAACUUGCAAGUUCUAACAGAUUCUGAUUUCUGAUUGGUCAGCUCCUGUGCUGGAACAAAAUAUCUAUGAAGCACCCUGUGGCUCUUAAUCAUUGUUCCAAAUACUUAAAAGGAGACGAGGCAGGUCAUGGGCUCAAGCAUAAGAUAAAGCAAACACUUGCAACCAAGUUUAGAAAUGGAUAGCCCUCUGCCUCUCCAUGUAUGCCAUGUUAACAAUCUUUCAGUGAUAAUUAACAGGCUACAUGCACUCUUGCAUUGCAUAGCUAUAGGUUUCCUGAUCUACUAUAGAGCCUCUUAUCUCUUGCAAGAAACAAGAGCAAUACCAAUUAUCCUAUGGCUUCUAGUCUUUGCCUCUGAGCUGCUUCUUUCUUUUAUAUGGCUGCUUGGCCGAGCUUAUCUCUGGCGUCCGGUUUCUCGAACUGUAUUCCCAGAAAGAUUGCCGGAAGAUGAUAAACUUCCGGCAAUCGAUGUGUUCAUAUGCACUGCAGAUCCAGAAAAGGAACCUGCUAUUGGUGUGAUGAACACUGUGUUAUCAGCCAUGGCGCUGGAUUAUCCGGUGGACAAACUUCACGUUUAUUUAUCCGAUGAUGGGGGUUCUCCUAUAACUUUACAUGGUAUGAGAGAGGCUUGUAGGUUUGCAAAAUGGUGGCUUCCCUUUUGUAGGAGAUAUGGAAUCAAGACAAUAUGCCCACAGGCUUAUUUUUCUGAAGCAGACAGUGAUGAUUAUUUUGGAGAUAGUGAGUUUAUGGUAGAGAAAAAGAAGAUUAAGGUAUGUUGAAAUAAAUUAUAGUGCUACUAUCUAAAAAUUUUUCGUGCUUUUUAUUGAUUUAUAACAAGAUUGCUGUACAAUUGUACUUGAAUACAAUGUAAUCCGAAGGGGCAUGAGCGUGGAUGAUACUUGAUAUGUUACAAAAUUUGGUAAUAGGAAAAGUAUGAGAUGUUUGAGGAACAUGUGACGAAGGCUGUAGAAGAUGGAGAUUAUGGGAACAGCCAAAACCACUCUACUAUUAUUGAGGUAACUUUGUGUCAUACUCUGCCACUUACAAGUUUAAGUUACUUUAUUUAACAUCUAAUUCAAUUGGAUUCCAGCAGAUAAUACAAGAUACUUCUGGUGAGAGUGAGACAAUUAGGCAAGCAGAUCUUGUUGAAAUGCCUUUGCUUAUUUAUGUUUCUCGUGAGAAAAGGCCUGAUCAUCUUCAUCAUUUCAAGGCUGGAGCCCUCAAUGUUCUUGUAUGAAUCAGUAUACGCACAACCUACAGAUUAUACUUGUUUGUAUUUAAAAUGCUCUGAUUAACAUUGUUCAAGCUUGCAGCUUCGUGUCUCUGGCGUGAUAAGCAAUUCUCCCUACAUAUUGGGGCUGGACUGUGAUAUGUACUGCAAUGAUCCAACUUCAGCUAGGCAAGCAAUGUGUUUCCACCUUGACCCAAAAAUCUCUUCGUCCUUAGCAUUCGUUCAGUUCCCUCAGAAAUUCCAUAAUAUCAAUAAGUAUGAUAUCUACGAUGGACGGUUUAGAUCUGCAUAUUGCGUAAGUAAAUUAAAGCCUAUCUACUAUCACCUUAUGCAGAUAAAUGAGCAAAUAUUAAACCACUAGAUGUAGCAAUUAUGUACAUAUAAGUUUUUGUUAUUUAUGCAUUCCACAAUCAAGGUACAAUGGCAAGGUAUGGAUGGGUUGAAGGGACCAGUCUUGUCUGGCACCGGCUAUUAUAUAAAGAGGGAGUCACUGUAUGCCGAUUUCACACAUACUGGUACCUUCAUUUGCCGACUUUCUUACAAAUUGAUGUUAAAAAUUUAAAAAUAAAUAGCAUUUCCACCCUUGAAGUCUUGUCUUUAUUGGAAAUCAUAAAAUUUUUAGCAUAAAACAUAGAAGUCAGCAAUCUAAAGUCCUAAAGAUGGUUGAAGAACACAGUUCAUUACUCGAUAGUAAUUUUUUAUUUUUUAUUUUUUUGGUUUAAUGAACAGUUAAUGACAUUUCAGAACUUAAAGACACUUUCGGAAAAUCCAAUGUGCUCAUCAAUUCUCUCCAUCAAAGCUACAAGCAAAACAAUGCCAAUGGUGAAAACUUUUCCAACGUUCUGCAAGAGGAGACUGGAGUUUUAGCCUCCUGCAGUUAUGAGCAUCAAACAAAAUGGGGUGAAGAGGCAAGCAUCAAGCAUAUCAACUUAUACAUAGUCAAACCUUAAUUGCAUUGCUAAAUCAUUAUCACAUAGCAUAACACAUUAUCUCUCCUUGCAUUUGAUAUCAGGUAGGCAUUUUGUAUCAAUCUGUUUCGGAAGAUUUAUUUACAGGAUUCAUUUUACACUGCAAAGGCUGGACCUCGACGUAUCUUACCCCAUUCAGGCCACAGUUUCUGGGUACUUCAACCACAAACUUGAAUGAUCUGCUGAUUCAAGGUACCAGAUGGGGCUCUGGGUUGACUGAUGUUGGUCUUUCGAGAUUCUGCCCUCUACUUUAUGGACCAUCAAGGAUGUCUUUACUUCAGAGCAUGUGCUAUGGAGAGCUAUCUUUCUUCCCUCUUCUUUAUUGCUUGCCUCUAUGGUGUCUUGCUACUCUUCCUCAGUUGUGUCUGUUAAAUGGCAUCUCUCUGUACCCUGAGGUAACAACUAAUAAUACUAGGAGUGCCUUCAAAAACAUUGAAAACUUACCUGCUGAACAAGUUGUUAAUAAUUUUAUAGACAAUAAAAUAGAUGUUAUGUUUUUUUUCUUUAUCCACAGGUUUCAAGCCCGUCUUUUAUCGUAUUUUCAUUCAUUUUCAUAUCAGCGAUUUGUAAACACUUGCAAGAGGUCAUUUCCACUGGAGGUUCAAUCUAUACAUGGAGAAAUGAGCAGAGAAUUUGGAUGAUAAAGUCUGUCACAGCUCAUUUCUAUGGAAGUAUGGAUACUAUUUUGAAACUUCUUGGCUUGAGGAAAGCCAGUUUCCUGCCAACCAACAAGGUUUUGGAUAAAGAACAAGUCAAAAGAUAUGAAAUAGGCCAAUUUGAUUUUCAAACAUCCUCUAUGUUUCUUGUUCCAAUGGUUUCUUUGAUGAUUCUGAACAUGGCAGCCUUGCUUUUUGGGUUUAUCAGAAUAAUUGCUGUGGGCAACUGGGACAAAUUAUUUGCGCAGGUGUUGCUCUCACUCUACAUCUUGAUCAUCAAUUUUGCAAUUGUUGAAGGGAUGAUAGUGAGAAAGGACAAGGGAAGGAUUUCAACAUCAGCCAUUUUAUUAUCAAGUGUAUUUUCCGUGAUUUUAUUGUUCUUUGGGUCUAUCAUUCUUAUGUAGCUAUAAGCAAAAUGUAGAGUGUUUCAUUUUAUCUUAAUUGCCACAGGCAAAGCAAAUAAAAUAAUUAAAUUUUUGUUUGGUAUUGAAGUGAGGUGCUGUAGAAAAAAAAAUUAUAAAUAUAAAAUAAAAGUUAAUAGUAUGUAAUAAAUAUAAUAUUUAAGUAAUAAUUUUGAUAAAUUUAGUAAAGAUAUAAUAAAUUUUUCAUUAUACAAGUAUAGAAUUAAUUUACUUUAGUUUUCAAGUAACAGUAAUUAUUUUUUGUCAAAUACUUUAAAAAUUACAGUUAUUCAACUUGAAUUUCAAAUAGAAUUAAAAUUUCGUUAAAAAAAUAAAAUAUUUUUGCAAUGAUAUUGAAACCUUGAAAUCUUAAACAUAACAAAGACUCGAGAGACAGUCCUAAGUGAUUCGGACAUGUCGUAUUGUUUUAUCAACAUCUACGCAAACUUUUCAACUUCGCUACUUAUUUCUCGCAGUACACGUUUACAAGAUUAAGCUCUUAAGUGAAACCUCCAUCAAUGCUCGGGCAGCAGCAGCACAAUCGCAUUUUGCUGAUACAUAGUUAAUACCUAACUAAGUAUUAACGGUCCACUACCACCAUGAAAAGAAGUUUUUACAAAUAUUUACAAGCAUGUAAAUUAAUAGUUAGAAGAUAAAUAAAAAAUUAUUUUAAAUUAUACGGCAUUCAUUAAUUGAUUGAAAAAAUAAUAAAAUUAAUUCACUUGAUUUUGUUAAGAAUUAUCAACAAUUUAUUUAGUGACAUAUUAUUGAAGAUAAAAUUUAAGAUAAAUAAUUUGAAAUUCUAUGAUUACUCUUACGAACAUAUAUAAGAUGUUUAUAUUUAAUUAUUGUAAUUGGGAAUCUCUUCAAUUAUUUAAUUAGCAAGAGAAUAAUUUAAGUCCGAACAUAAAAAUUGAAACUAAAAUAGUAUCAAAAAAAAUUUAAUGGGUUCAAAUAACUCCAUCCACUUUACUUUUUAUUUUUUAUUUUUAUUAUUUCAAGGAUAAGCAUAAUGCAUUUACUUUACCACUACCUGUACUAUUUUGGUAAAAUAUCAACUACCGUAACCAAUUUGAAGGAGAGUGAUUUGCACAGGACAGGUCAAAGUGGGAUCCUCCGUUAUUUAUUUAUUUAUAAUUUAGUUAGUCUCACUUCCCACUUUGAAACCCAUUAUUCUACGAAAUGAAAAGUUUCAUUGGAUGAGCAUAUCAUCUGAACAAGGCCUGUCUUGUACAAGUUUUUCUUACAUGUAAGCUCUGUUUGAAAGGUCAACGUACCUGAAGGCACCUCUGUCAGCAGCAGCCAGCAGCAAUCCAGUGAGUGGAAAGAUUUUUUUUUUGGAUGAGGUGAGCUUGCCGGCCAAGGAAAGCCAUAAAGUUUCCGCUCCUUAUUGACCAAGGAAAGCCAUCAGCUAGGAAGCAUCCUGUGAUUCUUAGUCAUUGUUCCAAUUAUUUAAAAGGAGAUGCUUCGAGCUUGAGAUAAAGCAAACACUUGCAACAAAGUUUAGAAAUGGAUAGCCCUCUUCCUCUCCAUGUAUGCCAUGUUAAUAAUCUUUCAGUGAUACUUAACAAGCUUCAUGCACUCUUGCACUGCAUAGCUAUAGCUUUCCUGAUCUACUAUAGAGCCUCUUAUCUCUUGCAAGAAACCAGAGCAAUAUCAAUUAUUCCAUGGCUUCUAGUCUUUGCCUCUGAGCUGCUUCUUUCUUUUAUAUGGCUCCUUGGCCGAGCUUAUCUCUGGCGUCCGGUUUCUCGGACUGUAUUCCCAGAAAGAUUGCCGGAAGAUGAUAAACUUCCGGCAAUCGAUGUGUUCAUAUGCACUGCAGAUCCAGAAAAGGAACCUACUUUUGGUGUGAUGAACACUGUGUUAUCAGCCAUGGCGCUGGAUUAUCCGGCGGACAAACUUCACGUUUAUUUAUCCGAUGAUGGGGGUUCUCCUAUAACUCUGCGUGGUAUGAGGGAAGCUUUCAGGUUUGCAAAAUGGUGGAUCCCCUUUUGUAGGAGAUAUCGAAUCAAGACAAUAUGCCCGCAGGCUUAUUUUUCUGAAGCAGAGAGUGAUGAAAAUUUUGGUGAUAGUGAGUUUGUGACAGAAAAAAGGAAGAUUAAGGUAAGAUGAAAUAAAUUUAAUUUUGUGCUAUUAUCUAAAAAUUCUUUUCGAGUGUUUUUUAUCGGCUUAUAACAAGAGUGCUGUAAGAUCUUACUUAAAUACAAUGUAAUCCGAAAGGGAAUGAGCAUAGAUAAUGCAUAAUGUGUUGCCAAUUUGGUAACAGGAAAAAUAUGAGAUGUUUGAGGAGCAAGUGAUGAAGGCUGUAGAAGAUGGAGAAUAUGGGAACAGCCGAAACCACUCGACUAUUAUUGAGGUAACUUUUUGUCAUACUCUGCCACUUACAAGUUUAAGUUACUUAAAUAACAUUCUAAUUCAAUUGGAUUCCAGCAGAUAAUACAGGACACUUCUGGUGAGAAUGAGACAAUUAGGCAAGCAGAUCUUGUUGAAAUGCCUCUGCUUGUUUAUGUUUCUCGUGAGAAAAGUCCUGAACAUCUUCAUCAUUUCAAGGGCGGAGCUCUCAAUGUUCUUGUAUGAAUCUCUAUACGCACUACCUAUAGAUUAUGCUUGUAUGUAUGGAGACUGCUCUGAUUAACAUUGUUCAAGCUUGCAGCUUCGUGUCUCUGGCGUAAUAAGCAAUUCCCCCUACAUACUGGGGCUUGACUGUGAUAUGUACUGCAAUGAUCCAACCUCAGCUAGGCAAGCAAUGUGUUUCCACCUUGACCCAAAAACCUCUUCGUCCUUGGCAUUCGUUCAGUUCCCUCAGAAAUUCCAUAAUUUCAAUGAGCAUGAUAUCUACGAUGGAUCACUGAGAUCUGGAUAUCGUGUAAGUAAAUUAAAGCCUCUCUCUGCAAUCAGCCUACGCAAAUAAAUGAGCAAAUAUAGAAGAAACUAGAUGUUGCAAUUAUGUUUCUAAAUGUUUUCUUUAUUUAUGCAUUCCACAUUCAAGUUACAAUGGCCAGGUAUGGAUGGGCUAAAGGGACCUUUCUUGACGGGUACAGGCCAUUAUAUUAGGAGGGAGUCAUUAUAUGGCAAUUUCAAACAUAAAGGUACCUAGCUCCGUUCAGACUUUCUUACAAAAGACAACUUGAUGUUAAAAAUUCAAAGAAUAUUAUGGCAUUUCCUCCCUUUAAGUUAUGUCUCUUCAUAUAAAACAUUUAGCAUCAAAAUUUAAGCGUCAGCUGUCCUGAAGUCCUAAAAAUUGUGGAAGAAUACAGUUCAUUGAUCGAUAGUGACCUUUUUUAUUUUUAUUUUUUUUGGUUGGGUUUAUUGAACAGGUAUUGACCUUGCAGAACUUAAAGACACUUUUGGAGAAUCCAAUUUGUUCAUCAAAUCCCUCCAUCAAAGCUACGAGCAUAAAAAUGUCAAUGGUGAAAACCUUUCCAACGUAUUGCAGCAGGAGACCGAAGUUUUAGCCUCCUGCAGUUACGAGCAUCAAACAAAAUGGGGUGAAGAGGCAAGCAACAAGCACAUCAACUUAUCAACUUAAAACAUAUUCAAUUCUUAAUUGCAUUAUUAAAUCAUUAUCUCGUAACAUAACAUCACAUCUCUCUUUGCUUUCGAAAUCCAGGUGGGUUUUUCGUAUCAAUCUGUUUCGGAAGAUUUCUUUACAGGAUUCAUCUUACAUUGCAAAGGCUGGACCUCGACAUAUCUUGACCCAUCCAGGCCACAGUUUCUGGGUACUUCGACCACAAAUUUGAAUGAUGUAUUGAUUCAAGGCACCAGAUGGGCCUCUGGGUUGAUUGACGUCAGUAUCUCGAGAUUCUGCCCUCUACUUUACGGACCGUCAAGGAUGUCUUUACUUCUGAGCAUGUGCUAUGGAGAGAUGUCGUUGUUCCCUCUUCUUUAUUGCUUGCCUCUCUGGUGUUUUGCUACUCUUCCUCAGUUGUGUCUGCUAAACGGCAUCCCUCUGUACCCUGAGGUAACAACUAAACCUAACAAUGCCUUACUGAUUAAUUUUUAGAUGUCAUAAUAGACCAUUGUGUUUUCACUUCUGCCACAGGUUUCAAGUCCUUUCUUUAUGGUACUUUCAUUCAUUUUCUUAUCGGCGAUUUGUAAACACUUGCAAGAGGUCAUUUCAACUGGAGGUUCAGUCUAUACAUGGAGAAAUGAGCAGAGAAUUUGGAUGAUAAAGUCUGUCACAUCUCAUUUCUAUGGAAGUAUGGAUGCUAUUAUGAAACUUCUUGGCUUGAGGAAAGCCAGUUUCUUGCCAACCAACAAGGUUUUAGAUAAUGAACAAGUCAAAAGAUAUGAAAUGGGCCAAUUUGAUUUUCAAACAUCCUCUGUGUUUCUUGUUCCUAUGGUUUCUUUGAUGAUUUUGAACGUGGCAGCCUUGGUUUGCGGAGUUAUCAGAAUGAUUGCUGUGGGCAACUGGGACAAGUUGUUUGCGCAAGUGUUGCUCUCACUCUACAUCUUGAUCAUCAAUUUUGCAAUUGUUGAAGGGAUGAUAGUGAGAAAGGACAAGGGAAGAAUUUCGCCAUCAGCCAUUUUAUUAUCAAGCCUAUUUUUUGUGACUUUCUUGUUCUUUGGAUCUAUCAUUCUUAUUUAAUUUUAAGCGAAGUGUAGAGAGUUUCAUUUUAGCUUAAUUACCACAGGCAAAGCAAAUAAUGUAAUUUCUGUGAGAAAAGAUAAUGUUUUCGUAGUCAUAUUCAAAUACUUUAUUUUAUUUUAUUUUAAUAAUUAUAUUUAAACAUACCAAUUAAAAGAAAGUGUUAAGUGAUGCUGAUAUUAUCAUAUCAAAACAUCACAAUCUAUGCAAUUGAUUAAAUUUCGUCACUUAUACUCUUUUAACUAAACAUCAUCUCGGUCAAUAAAAUGAUGUCAAGUCAAACCUCUAUGUUAGGACAAUAUAAUUUGCUAAUAAAAAAAUAUCUAAAAGAGUGACUAUUGCUGUCAAUUAUGCCAUUACUAAAGUUAAAUCAACAAAAUAAGUCUCGUUGUUCAAUUUCCUUUACAUUAUUCUAAUCCAAGAAACUCGAUCAAAAUUUAAUCCCUAUAUAUAAUUAAAAAAAAUCAAAACGCUAAUAAUAUUUACAAUUGGAAGGUUCUCACCAUUAGGUUAGUUGUUUGCGUUACUCCUAUUCAGAGUCAAGGUUGUUUAAGCUCAUUUUAGGUAUUAGAUGUUUUAAGUCCCCUCCUUCCAGACUUGGGAUUCUUAGAAACAACAAAAUAUGAUAAUCUAAUUGAACAUAAAGGAAUCGCUAAAAGAUUAGCCUCUUUUGAAUGGUUUGGUUCUCAAUACAAGAGGUGAAGAAUACCGUAGAUAAUUACUUCAAAAUAGAGUAGAAGGAUCUUAAUAUAAUAAAAAAGUAACGCAGAGUUAUGCUUGCUAUCAUAUUGGGUAGCAAAAGGAUGAUGAUGAAAAUAAUUGGGUAGACACUAGAUAUAUAUAAUAUUUAUUUUUAUAUAAGAGAAAUUAAAGUCGAGUAUGAAAGUUGGAACUGGAAUUGUGGAACAUGUGUCCUCAAAUUGAGGACACAAUUUCUUCCCACCAUUUUUAUACUAAUUAAUUCUUAGACAUUUGAAUAAAGAAAAAUGAUGUUUGAAUAUUAAGAAGACAUAGCAAAGAUAGAAAGAAGAACAUUAUAGUAUGAACAAUAACACCAUUUUUAUUAUGUUUGAAUGCUAGAAUUGAGUAUGAGAUUGGACUAAUUUGGAGAUUAAAUAUUUAUUUUAUAUUUGGCAAGCUGAGUUGGAUUGAAAUAAGAAGGACUAAAUUUAAAUUUAGUCUUAAAAUCAUAGGAUUUGUAAUCCUAAUAUACACAUGGAUUUAGUUGGAAUAAGAUUAAGGAAAAAAGAAAGUUGUCCAUUUAUAACAUUAUUUUUUAUUUAUAUCAAAUAUCAAUCAAUCAAUCAAUUAAUUAAUUUUUUUAUUUAUGAUUUACUUAUUUUAUUUUUUAUUUAUUAUUUAUGAUCUAACUAAAUUGGUACUUUUACUUCUACUAGAUUAAAUUUUCAUUACUUGCAUAUUUAAUAAUUUAUCUAUAAAAUUAACCAUUUAAUAAUUUAUUGCAUUAUUGAUUGUAAUAAAUUUAAUAAUCACUAAUACAAUAUUAAAAAUAAUCAUGAAAUUUAAUAAUACCAUAAAUUAGUUGAUUUUAUACGAUAAUUUUUAAAUAUUUGAUAAAAAAUUAAUUAAAUAUUUAAAUUUUUAUUUCUUCUUUAUUUCUUCAUUAUAUUAUGACUGUCCAUUAACUUAUUUACAAUACAUUUAAUUUUCUUAUUAAUUACUUUUUAAACUUAGUUUAUUUAUUAUUAUAAAAUUUCAUGAAUAAUUGAUAUUUAUAUUUAAAAAUCAACUUAAAUGCUAUUUAUUAUUAUUUAAAUAUAAUUUAACAAAAUUCAAUCAGUACUAGACCAAACAUAAGACAAUAUAAUAUAAUUAAACUUAAUCUAGUCUAAUAUUGAGUUUAAUUUUAAUAAUUAAUUCUACCCAAUCCUGCACAGUAAAUGUAGCCUCAAUAUCUUCUUACUGUUUAAAUAUCAUUACUCUAGAAUAAAUAUUUGCAUAAAAGCUGACGUGAUUCAAUAUUAAAACAUUAGCAUUUUUCAUUUUUCCUUCUAACCUUAUGAAAAACUAUUACCGAAGUUUGAGAAUCCAACAACCUUUAGCAUGGUUUUGGCUAAACCUGCAUGUGUGUACUAAUGACAGUGUCAGGUCACGAGAGGGAAAUUUGUGCUGCUCAAAUAUUUAUGUUGUAUUAUUUGUACUCCCAAAAAAUACCAAAACAUAACGGGACAAAAGUAAUUGGGCAAAAACAAGACACACCUUACUACUGAUUGAUUACCGAAUCACACGUGUUCAGAUGAAUUAGGCAUUUCGGUUCAAUUCAAGUUGCUCCAUCUUUGUUUAUGAGCCAGCCAACAGUACAUUGUUUUGCAUGUAAUAAUAUAAGGAAAAUAUGCAAAAGCUUCAAUCUACUUGAACUGUCGUUAUAUAAUUAAAACAGUAAGCUUUGAACUCUAUUAAUGGAACCUCUGCCUCUUCAUCUUUGCAAACCCUACAAGCUUUCAUCCAUACUCAACCGUUUGUAUUCUUUAAUCCAUGUCACAGCUUUAACAUCACUUAUUUACUACAGGGUUUCUUCUUUAGCAUCAACACCCUUAGCUUCACUGCCCGCUCAGCUUCUAGUCUUUGCCUUGGAGCUGCUUUUGUCUCUUCUUUGGCUUCUAAAUCAAGCUUAUCUGUGGAACCCGGUUUCCCGCAGGGUUUUCCCAGAAAGAUUGCCAGAAAAUGAACAAAAUUUACCCGCUAUCGACGUGUUUAUAUGCACGGCGGAUCCCAAGAAGGAGCCCCCUCUUGAGGUGAUGAAUACAGUUUUGUCGGCUAUGGCACUUGAUUAUCCUUCAAAAAAGCUUCAUGUGUAUCUUUCUGAUGAUGCUGGCUCCGCUUUAACCCUGCUUGCUUUGAGACAGGCUUGUGCUUUUGCUAGCUCUUGGCUUCCUUUCUGUAGGAGGUUUGGUAUUAAGACUAGAUGUCCUAAGGUUUAUUUUUCAAAUUUAAAUGACGAUCAUUGUUUUACUCGGAGUGUGGAGUAUGAAAAAGAAAGAGUGAAUAUCAAGGUUUGAGCUCAUCAUUAAUAACUACAUGUUUGUGCAUUGCGGAUCUAGUGCUCAUCUGAGCUGUGCUGAUCUUUUAUAGAUUUUGUAAUUCGCUUAUAGCAGGCCACAGCUAAAACUUAAAAAAAUCUCUCAAAAGAUCAGCUCUGUAUCCAAAUCCGCAUGGAUUAUGUGUGUCAAGUUUCAUAUUUUUGUUAUGCUAAUGCAGAGGAAGUACGAGUUGUUUAAAGAACACAUUCGGAUAGCAGAGGAAGAAAAAAGCAGCGCGACGGAUAAAAUCAAUCCUUCAAUUGUUGAGGUAUGUGCUGGAGCAUCCUGUUUGUUGCUGCAAAUAUAAAUUAUUAUUACUUAUGUGUUCAAGAAUCAAUACCUUGUAGACUAUUUUGUCAAUUUAGUCAUGAGGAGUAGAGCAUUAGAUGCUACUUGCAUUGACUCAUAAUCGAUUCAGUUCCAUAGUUAUGAAAUAAUUUGGGAUCCUUUUCUUUUCAUUUUUCCAGGUGAUAAUUGAUAAAUCUGAUGAUGAAGUGAGGACUAACCAAGUUGAGAUGCCUCUUCUUGUGUAUGUUUCUCGCGAGAAAAGACCACCUCAUCCACACCAUUUCAAAGCUGGAGCUCUUAAUUGUCUUGUAUUUCUCUGUUCCUCUUGCUUUAUCGCUUUGUUUUCUGAGUUUGUACGGGCUAAUGCUUAUGAAGUAUAAAAAUUUGUAACAUUGACGCAGCUUAGAGUCUCAAGCAUACUCAGUAACUCCCCUUACAUAUUGGUAUUGGACUGUGACAUGUACUGCAAUGACCCAACAUCUGCCAAGCAAGCUAUGUGCUUCCACCUUGAUCCGAAACUGUCUCCCUCGCUGGCCUUUGUUCAGUUCCCUCAGAAAUUCCACAACAUUAGUAGCAAUGACAUUUAUGAUAGCCAGUUGAGAACAACAUUCCAGGUACAUUGGUGAAAUCUUAUCUUUGUAUAACUUUUACAUGAAUCAAUUCCUUAAAUUGGCACCACAUUGCCCAUAAAGUUAUGCACACACCAAAUCAUGGUUCCUAUUCUAAACUUAGACUACAAUUACAAGUACUUCUGCUGUGUGCUCUCACCUGUAGUUAUUUUUCUGGUCUUCAAUUUGGAAAGGUGAUAAUAAUUGUUAAUUCUUGAAUCACGUUUCAGGUAAGAUGGCCAGGUAUGGAUGGAAUUCAGGGACCUAUGCUGUCGGGAACGUGCUUUUACAUGAAGAGAGAAGCAUUAUAUGGAAUUUUUUUGCAGAAAGGUAUGUCCGUUUUCCUUUUUGCUGCAAAUCCGCAUUCUCGGCGAAAGUAGCAUAGCAGUUUAUGUAGACUCUGUACAUUUUUUUUCCCCUUCUGCGUUAGAGGAUUUGGUGGCUAAUUAAAAAGGAACCAGAACAAGAUUACAAUGUGCUACUGCAAGAUUUUUUUAUAUCUGGACCCUAUUUUAAUGAAAAUACGAAUCUUGGCUAAGCAUUGUUCUCAAAUGGAAUGCUAGUGAGAAAAGACAGCUGUUAGGUUCAUCAAGUCAACAAUUCUAUUAAUCUUUGCUAUACAUCAUUGCAUAUAUUUGCAAAUGACUUAGUGACAAAAUCAGUCAACUGUAAAUUGUUAAAAGUGUUUGUGUUUGAUUCAGAGCUACAUCAUCUGAAAGAAUCCUUUGGUCCUUCAAAUGAGUUGAUCAUCUCUCUUCAACGUAGCAACCAACGUAAAACCAUUGGCAAUGGUACCUUGUCUAGCACACUGCAACAAGAAGCACAAUUUUUAGCUUCUUACAACUAUGAGACGAACACUUUGUGGGGAAAACAGGCAAGUAAUAACCUCUGGGAAAACAUUGGGAUGCCGUUAAUAUUAUUAAGCAGAUACUGAUUAUGUCAUUGAAUCUUUGCUUUUGGUUUUAAACCAGAUAGGAUACUUGUACAAAUCUCUGAUAGAAGAUUAUUUUACCGGAUUCAUUUUGCACUGCAAAGGAUGGAAAUCCGUCUUUUGCAAUCCAUCACGGUCAGCAUUCUUAGGAAGUGCUACAUCAAGUUUGAAUGACACAUUGGUUCAAGGCACAAGAUGGAACUGCGGUUUGCUUGAAGUCACCUUCUCAAAGUGCUCCCCUCCUCUUUAUGGGCUAUCAAGAAUGCCUUUGCUUCAAACAAUGUGCUAUAGCUACUAUGCUUUGCAGCCAUUCUAUUCCUUGCCGUUGUGGUGUUUAGCUUCUGUGCCUCAGCUGUGUCUCAUAAAUGGAAUUUCCUUGUACCCAAAGGUAACCAUUUCUAAAACGAGAUUGGGAGGCAAUUUGGAGAUGCUUUGUCUUAUUGAUAGGUCUAAAACAUUGUAACUAUUUAUUUCUCUUCUACUCAGGUUUCAAGUCCAUGGUUUGUGAUCUUUUCAUCUAUUUUCUUAUGUUCACUACUGAAACAUUUGGUGGACGUUCUCGUCACCGGUGGUUCAGUCCAGACGUGGUGUAAUGAACAGAGGAUUUGGAUGAUAAAAUCACUCACUUGCUACACCUAUGGAACUAUAGAUGCCAUCUUGAAAUGUUUUGGAAUGAAACAACCAUGUUUCUCGCCCACAAAUAAAGUUUCCGAUGAUGAACAAGCCAAGUUACAUCAACUGGGUAAAUUCAACUUUCAAAUCCCAACCAAGUUUCUUGCUCCUUUAGUUUCCUUAAGUCAUUUUGAGUAUGAUUGCUUUUACUGGAGGAAUUACUAGAAUGGUGAUUUCGGGGGGCGCAAACGAGUUGCUUGGACAAGUUAUCCUCUCAUUUUACAUCUUACUGGAGAGUUACCCAAUAAUUGAAGGGAUGGCAUGGAGGAAGGAUACAGGGCUAGUCCCAGCUUCUGUUGCGUUACUCUCUUUUGUUCUCUCCAUCAUUUUCUUGCUUUUGGGUUCCGUGGUUCUCAGGUUAAUUUGAAUUGUGCUAGAGGUUCAGAAUAAAAGCGAAAGGUCACAAUUAUGUGCUUCAUUUUUGAAAUAGUUAAUGCCCCCAUUAACUUCUUAUUGCUUUCAAAUGAUGCCGAUAAAGGCAACAGCCCUGUUUCACAGGAUGACCUAAUAAGAACAAAAUUGCAAAAUACUGGCACCUAUUGCUUAAUUGAAGGUCCUUGCGCUUGUUCAUGACACACUUAAGCUCAUUGACUGGGGGCACAAGAAAUUUCGAUACCUUGCAUAUCACCACUUAAUUUUGUUAAUUCAAAUUAAUUCUUGUUCCUUAUGCUGAAGUGCAAACGAUUUAUAUUAACCAUUCAAUCAUUUUUCAUCUCUAAUUAAACCAUUUCACCAUUUCAUUUGGAAACAAUUUCACUUUAUAUUAACACCAAGUGCCCUUUUUUAUUCAAUUGAAUAUGCCACUCACAAUGCCCUUUCGUAAACAACCCAAUGCCCGAAAGAUUACAUCUCUCCUUGCUUCCAACGGAUUGCAGCAAGAGACCGAAGUUUUAGCCUCCUUACGAGCAUCAAACAAAAUGGGGUAAAGAGGCAAGCAACAAGCACAUCAUCUUAUCAACUUAAACAUAGUCAAGUCUUAAUUGCAUUACUAAAUCAUUAUCACAUGCCAUCACAUUACAUCUCUCCUUGCUUUCGAAAUCAGGUGGGUUUUUCGUAUCAAGCUGUUUCGGAAGAUUUCUUUAUAGGAUUCUGUAAGAGAGAUUGUAUCAUUUUUUAAGUUUGAAAUUUUGGAAGAAAACGGCUAUUGAAAUACUUCAUUUUAUUUUAUUUUAUUUUAAUAAUUAUGUUUAAACAUACCAAUUAAAAGAAAGUGUUAAGUGAUGCUAAUAUUAUCAUAUCGAAACAUCACGAUCUAUGCAAUUUAUUAAAUUUCAUCACUCAUACUCUUAAACUAAAUAUCAUCUCGGUCAAUAAAAUGAUGUCAAGUUAAACCUCUAUCUAUGUUAGGACAAUACAAUUUGUUAAUAUGGAAGAUCUAAAAGAGUGACGAUUGCUAUCAAUUAUGCCAUUACUGAAGUUAAAUCAUCAAAAGAAGUCUCGUUGUUCAAUUCCCUUUUCAUUAUUCUAAUCUAAGAAGCUCGAUCAAAAUUUAAUCCCUAUAUAUAAUAAAAAUAAAUCAAAAGUCUUAACAAAAUUUACAAUUGUAAGGUUCUCACGAUUAGGUUAGUCGUUUGUGUUACUCUUGUUCAGAACCUAAGGUCGUUUAAGCUUAUUUUAGGUAUAAGAUGUUUUAAGUCCCCUCCUUCCAGACUUGGGAAUCUUAGAAACAACAAAAUAUGAUAAUAUAAUUGAAAAUAAGGGAAUUGCUAAAAGAUUAGCCUCUUUUGAAUGGUUUGGUUCUCAAUACAAGAUGUGAAGAAUACCGUGGAUAAUUAUUUCAAAAUAGAGUGGAAGGGUCUGAAUAUAAUAAAAAAGUAACGCAAAGUUAUGCUUGCUACCAUAUUGGGUAGCAAAAGGAUGAUAACGAAAAUAUUUGGAUAGACACUAGAUAUAUAUGAUAUUUAUUCCUAUAUAAGAGACAAUUAAGUCUAGUAUGAAAGUUGGAACUGUAACUAUGGAACAUACAUGUGCCCUCAAAUUGAGGGCACAAUUUCUUACCACCAUUUUUAUCUUAGACAUUUGAAUAAAGAAAAAUUGUAUUUGAGUAUUAAGAAGACAUUGCAAAGAUAGAAAGGACAGCGUUAUAGCAUGAACAAUAACACUGUUUUUAUCUUCAUAGGCCAUGUUUGAAUGCUAGAAUUAAGUAAGAGAUUGAACUAAUUUUGAAAUUAAAUAUUUAUUUCAUAUUUGGCAAGCUGAGUUGGAUUGAACUAAGGAGGACUAAAUUUAAAUUUAGUCUUAAAAUCAUGGGAUUUGUAAUCUUAAUAUACUCAUGGAUUUAUUGGAAUAAAAUUAAGGGAAAAAAAGUUGUCCAUUUAUAAGAGUUUCAUUCAUAACAUUAUUUUUAUUUAUACCGAAUAUCAAUCAAUCAAUAAAAUAAUUAAUUAAUUUUUUAUUUAUGAUUUACUUAAAAUUUAUACCGAAUAUCAAUCAAUCAAUAAAAUAAUUAAUUAAUUUUUUAUUUAUGAUCUACUAGAUUAAAUUUUCAUUACUUGCAUCUAUGAUCUAAUUAAAUUGGUACUUUUACUUCUACUAGAUUAAAUUUUCAUUACUUGCAUAUUUAAUAAUUUUUCUAUAAAAUUAACCACUUAAUAAUUUGUUGCAUUAUUGAUUGUAAUAAAUUUAAUAGUCACUAAUACAAUAUUAAAUUGAUGUUUUCACACUUUUCGUAGAUAAAUUAAAAAUUGUCUCAUGGUUUUGAUGAUGGCUUUCCUCAGUAGAUUAAUUUAUUAUUUAGUUUGCUUUUGAGUUUUAGUAUUUUUAAGUCUUUGUAGCUAAUUGACGUUCGCAAUAGAACUAGCAAUAAAUUAAACUAUUUAACAGAAAGAAGCAUAUCCUAUAAAAAAAAAAACAGAAAGAAGCAUAUAGUAUUCACAUCUUUAUCAAAUAUCAGAAUAAAUAAAUUAUUGUGGCGUAAAACUUCUGUACAAUUUCCAUCCAUCUUUUUCCUAAUCAAUAAUCACAAUGGACCAUGCAAAGAUUGAAAAGAAGCAACUUACUUCAAGAAUCUAGUACAAAAACUUGGGACAAAACAAAAUAAUUAUAAGAAUUCUAGAUAAGUUUAUAAUAUUGAGUUACAAUGUUUAUAACAAAAACACUUUAUUAUAUGGAAGUGGCAUAACUUAAAAGCACAUUUGUCAAACCAUCGAGAUUGCAAUAAUAAAAUACAUAAAGAUUAAAGUGGCAUUCAUACAAAGAUUCAUAAAAUUAAACAAUGACAGCCCUCUUUCAUGGAAUCUCGGGAGGAUGAAAACUGACUUUCGAAUUUCUUUGACUUUAGUUCGAAGUUCGGAUCCGGCGACUUCGGCAACGGCUCCGGCGGCGACGGCCACGGCGGCGUCGGCCACNNNNN